GUUGAGUUUAAUUCAAGUUCUUCUUGAGAGAUUUCAAGCCGGUCGUUAACAAAGAACAAGACUUUUUGAGUUAAAAGAGCUUCCAGUGUUUAUAAAUAUGUGGUUGAGUUGAUGUGUUGUUUCAACUCUCAAUGUAUACACCCACGUGUAUGCAUCUAUUCACAUAAAAAUCUCACAUGGAAAAUUUUUGGUAUGUCUUACAAAUCUUCACUAUGCUACUAAUAGAUUGGAUUUGAAGAAUCUGCGUAUUUCUGAGCAUUUCUAGGGUUUUGUGCAAAUUUGUUGCCACAUACAUAUGUAUGUAUGUAUAUGUAUAUGUAUGCAUGUAUGUGUAUGUCUUCAAAUUUUGAACUAAGGGCAGCUCUAUAAUGUAAACAUUAUCAAUGUCACAUACCUAAUGUAUGUGUGCUGUCAAACACUUUUAGACUGUGGUAUUUUGUCCAAGGAAAGUCUGUUUAAAGGCAGGUGAAACAAAUUACUCUAGAGAUGAACGACAGAGACAGAUAUCAAUAUUUCACUGUUAUUUCAGAUUAUCACUGCCAUAUACUUGAUUUGCUCUGGAGAUGAAUUCAAAUUGCUGGCCUGAUGUAUACACAGAUAGGGUAAAAGUUUAUUUACUGGUAUGCAACUACAGCAUACAAGUAAAACAAAAUUUUGGCAAAGAAACAAAUCUAAAAUUUAAACAUUGUUGAUGUCACAUACUUCAUGUAUGUGUGUUGUGGAAUACAUUUAGGUCAUGGUAUUUCAUUCCAGAGGAAUUCCCAUUAAAGAUAUAAUGUAUUAAAGAAACAGUAUAAUACAGAGCCACUUCAAAAUCUUAUAAGGAUGUAUGAGGCAUUCUCAACCUAUUGCAUAACAAACCUAUGCACAAACACACAAAGCAUGCCUCUCUGUGUGUGUGUGUGUGUGUGUGUGUGUGUGUGUGAGUGUGUGUGAGUGCUAGAGAGAGAGAGAGAUUGUAUGUGUAUGCGAGAGAGCAUAAAUAUAUGCGCUAUUGGAUAAAACUCAUGAUAUAAAAUUAAUGCUUUUCUCAUUCUUAAGGAAGCAAGGAGGCAGAAUCAUGCUUAGCAGUGUUUCAUCCAUCUUUACAUUCUGAUUUCAAAUUCCACUGAGGUUAACUCUGCCUUUCAUCCCUUUCUGGAACAUGAUAAAUUAAGCACCUGUUGAAAACUGGGGUCGAAGUAUGGACUUACCCUCUCCUCUGAAAUUGUUGGUUUUGUGCUAAAAUUCGAAAUUAAUAUUUUACUCAUUUUAUCAUGGUGAUGUGACACAAUAAACCUGAAUGCAGUAAUUUGAAUAAUUAUUAUUAUUAUAAUUCUAUUAUGUACUAGAGUCCAAAAAAGAAAAAAAAUCUUUGAUUGCCUUCCCCCCCCCCCAACUAAUUUCUGGUCAAGUUUAUUGUAGUUCUAUCAUUUCAUCAUCAUCCAAAACACAUGCCCUCAACAGGCCCACAGCAAAGGAUGCAGCCUUCCCCUAAUUCAACCUUUCCAGAUCAUAAACUAACCCAGCCUAUGGCCAAUAUAGUAACACAUUCAAGAUUAACUACACCAUUAAGUAGUGUUUCAAUAGGCAGCUAAUCUGUUGGCAGUUGUUGUUGAUGUUUAGUCCCAGAUCAGCCUACAUCAAUCCAACCAAAAGUCACACACAAACCAUGACCAUCUUGUCUUCUGAGAUGUAGUUCAUCCCAGACUACAUUAUCCACUCUGUCCUCUCUUUUUUAAAAUCAACAGAAAAUGAUUUGACAGUGAUUUGGUUGCUACUUCUAGCAACCAUAUAUAGAGGUUAACCUCACCUGUUUAUAAUGACGUCUGUCACCUCUCCUGCUAUAGUUGCCAUUGGCUUUUCUAUAAGAGGCUCUUCUGUACAUCAAUAUGUUUUAAUUAUAAUUCUGCCCAGCAGUUAUGUCUUUCACUAUAAGUUUACUAUCAAAAAGAAUAUCUUGCAUGCUCGUGAACUGCUCAAAUAAUUAUUUCCCUUAGGUCUAUACUAUAAUGUCAUUUUUCCUUGCAGCAAAAGUGUCUUGCACAAAUAUAGAAAGAAAUAAAGCUAGAGCUAUAUGAAUUUUAUAUAUUGAGGGAAAUGAAAUAUAAUAUAUACAUGUUUAUAAAUGGUAUAAAUUCUGGUAAGAAGAUGUAUUAAAAUGUUUCAAGACACAAACAAUAAGCAAUAACAUGGAAACUCAAUAUGGAGAUGAUUAGAAUUAUGAAAAAAAAAACUCAUUUAUUUAGUAGUUAAUCAGUUCAUAUUGCAAAAUAUCCAUUGAGUAAUAUACUAUUUAAAAGAAUUUAUUUGAAUAACCAUUGUACACAUGUUCCAUCAUUUCUUAAGCAAUUGGGAUCUAAAUAAAUAUUUAAAAUAUCCCACCCAAAAUGUUUGUUUUUACACAUUGAAGAAUAUGUUUGUUAAAUGAUGAUGAUGAUGAUGAUGAUAAGUGUGUGUGUGUGUUUGUGUGUGUGUGUGUGUGUGUGUGUGUGUGUGUGUGUGUGUGUGUGUGCAUUCACAUAUAUACAUACACUUACAUAUAUGUAGGUAUGUAUGCAUGCAUGUAUGUGUAUUUUUGGAUAUUAGAUGGGUUUAAAUAGACAAACAGACAAAAGACUGAUAGAUAGGUAGAUAGAUAGAAAGAUAGAUAGAUAAAUAGAUAGAUAACUUUCUUUUAUUAGCCACACAGGGCUGAAUACAGAGGGGACAAAUACAAAUGCAGAGCUUUUCUUUUCGAGGGUGGAAAAAAAUAAAAAAUGUAAGAUUGCGAUUACGCAUACAUAUAGAUGUGUGUGUGUAUGUUCACAUAUAUACAUACACACAUAUGAUAUGUAUGGAUAUUAAUGAUGAUGAUAAUGUGUGUGUGUGUGUGUGUGAAAACAUAUAUAUACAUGUGUGUGCUUCCACGUAUGUACAUAUAUGAAUACACACAUAUAUAAAUAUGUAUGUGUGUAUAUGUGUCUAUCUAGUCCUAACUUUGGCAUCAAUUCUGCAAAUUUGUUGCAGAGGGGUCAGUUCACUAAAUCAAUAUAAGGUAUAUAUGUCAUCUACACUAGAAGAAAAUGAAAGGCCAUGUCAAAAACACAAGAAUAAUUUCAAAACUCAAAAUAUAAAGAAUGUUGUAACUGAAUGUUGUAAAGAAUUUCAUUCAGCAUCAAUAUUUUUGCUAUUCGGCUGCUCAAUAUAUAAAGAUGUUAUAAUUGUUUAACCCAUGGUCAAUCCUGAUUGAGCAGAUCGAUGAGGCAAGGCAUUCCAAACAGGAUCUUCCUGUCUUUUUUCUGGGAUUAUAUGUAUGUAUGUAAAUAAGUAUGUAUGUACAAGUGGGUUGCUGAAAAGUUCCUGGCUUUGACUAAUAGAAAAUACAGGAAGAUCAGUUAAUUAUGAUUUUAUUUGAUAUAUUCCCCUCUCAGAUUCACACACUGACUGUAGCAGUCUAUUUUUACUAAGCCCUAUAAAAAAAAUACUUGGAAGGUUGGGCUUCCAAUCAGGCCUUUCAAGAUACUCUUAAAGCCAGGAACUUUUCAAUACCCCCUUGUAUGUGUGUAUGUAAACCUAUAACUAACACUGAGUUUGGAUUUCACAAAUUGAUAACUGGUGUUAGCUUGUAUAUGCCCUUAUAACUUAGCAGUUCAGCAAAAAUAGAACGAUAGAAUAAAAAAUAGACUUAGUAAAAAAAAAGGGGGGAGGUUAAGUUGCAUGAGUAGCAUGAGUUUUAUUGCUGCAGAGCACUAAUAAGAAACCGAGAUGACAAAGGAAUAAACAAUGAUUUUAUGGAUUUCAUUAGCUUUCAACCGUUUCUGCUAUACGAUGCAGUGGACUGAUAGUUGAGUGUGUGAAUAACACCUUAGAACUUCAUCAGGGCUUCAAGCAUGAAGUGCAAUUUAUUUGGCAAAACAUUUACAUUUAUUUAUAUACACAGAAAAGCAUUACCAAUGAAAAAGCAUACACAUGUGUGGGGAAUGAAAUUCAGGAACUGCCAACAUAAUUAGAAAGGAACUCCUGCCAUAAUUAGAAAAAGGUUAAUUAGAAUAAGAUUAAUGCAAGGUAAUAAUUUCCUUUAGCUAGACAUGUAUUUCAGAGAAGACUGGAAACAAAUAACCCCGUUUAUAUGAAUACGAUGCUCAUUAACCAUCAUCAUGUCUAGACAAGGGUACACAUGCACAAAUACAUACACACACACACACACACACACACACACACACACAUAUAUAUAUAUAUUUAUAUAUAUAUAUGCAUACAUCAUUAUCAUUUAACAUCUGUUCUCUAUGCUUAAUGGGUCAGGCAGUUUGACAAGAAUUGGUAAAAGGUACCAAGCUGGCAGAAACGUUAGUGCGCCGGGUGAAAUGCUUUACAGUAUGUCAUCUGCCAUUACGUUCUGAGUUCAAAUUCCGUCGAGGUCGACUUUGCCUUUCACCCUUUCAGGGUCGAUAAAUUAAGUACCAGUUACACACUGGGGUCAAUGUUAUCGACUUAAUCCUUUUGUCUGUCCUUCUUUGUCCUCUCUAUGUUUAGCCCCUUGUGGGCAAUAAAGAAAUAAGUAUUGGUAAAAUUAGGGUCCACAACCAGGUUCCAUCAUCUGUCUUGGCUUGGUUUAUAUGGCUGGAUGCCCUUCCUAACACCAACCACUUUACAGAGUGUACUGGAUGCUUUUUAUGUGGCACUAUCACAGGUGCUUUUUUAGUUGCACUUGGACCAGUGCUUUUUUAUGUGGCACCUUGGUUUUAGAAUCUCAAUUCUGUUGUGGUGGGCAGGUCUUCUCAAGUACAGCAAUGCACCAGAUAUCUCAGUCCACUGUCAUCUCCUUUGUAAGAUUCAAUGUUCUGAGAUCGGCCUUCAGAACUUCCAUCCUAUGUCUUCCUGGGUUACCCUCUUCCACAACCUUCCUCCACCUUAAGUGAUACAUAAAUAGUAGUAAAAGAUGUGGUUUCAGAGGAUUAUGCAUUUAUCACAGAAAGCUCUUUCUGCAGACUUGGCAAUCAGUCCACAUGAUAAUCAAUUACAAAAAAGUGUAAUUAAUGUAGUGUCCAUGUAACUGAAAAUCCAGAAGAUCUGGUGAAUAUGCAAUUGUAUUAUAUAAUGCCAAGCAUACAUAUUAAUGCAAACAUGUAUGCAAAUUUCUUUCAUACUGAAACGAAUAUUAUAUGCAGAAGCUGGCCUUGUGCCAGAAUUUAUAACCAAUAUUAUAUAAAGAAGGCUGUGAAACAGGCAUAAUCUUAUGGCAGUCUUAUGGUUAAAGAAACAUCCAUUGAUCAAUCGUACCUCCUAACUUUAUGGGUUGUGUAUGUAUGUGUGUGUGUGUAUUUGUGUAUUAAGGCUACUAUUGGCCUCAUGUUAAGAAAAAUAUCUUCAUAUCUUAACAAUUUUUCAAGCUGAUCACAUGGAGGAAUGCUGUUCAUUUCCAUUUUGGAGAUGAAUAUCACUCCUCCAUGUGAUUGGCUCCAAAAAUUGUUAAGAUACUAAGAUAUUUUCCUUAACAAGGAAACCAAUGGUAGCCUUAAUACACAAAUAAAGAAAUUUUAUUCUCUAAUGCCGUGUUGUGCAUUCAUUCUUAUUGUUCAACAUUUACUUAUAUAUAUAUCUAUAUAUAUAAUAAUAUAAGGGUAAAUAAUUAAUAGUUUUUAAAAAAACCAACAAUUAUUUACAGGUAGAUUUCGGUAUGUAAAUAUAACCAUUAUCUGUAGUAACUAUUUUUUAAAAAGUUCUAUAUAUAUUUGUAUAUAAAUAAAAAAGGGGCAAGCAACAGGUUGCUUAGCCACCUGUGAAUUACAUGGAUAUGUUGUAUGUGGAGUCUUAUUUGUAGAAAAUAGAAAUAUAUAGUCUUUGACUGCUAUUUCUAAUUUUUCGGUAUGUGGCUAAGCAACCUGUUGCUUGCCCCCUUUUUAUAUAUAUAUGUAUAUAUAUAGACACACACAUACACACACACUCACUUACACACACAAAGAUGUGCUUCUUUCAGUUUCUAUCUACUAGAUCCACUCACAAGCUUUGGGUUGGCCUCAGAACAGACUUGCCAAAGGUGCUGCAUGAUGGGACUGAAUUCAUAACUACAUGAUUCAGAAGCAAGCUUCUUAACCAUACAACUAUUCCCAAGAGAUUUGAAUUAAGAAUGCAGAGAUUCCAAACAAGUGCUACAAGGCAUUGUAUCCAAGCUCUACACAACUCUGCUGAUUCUCUGCCCACAUUUACCAUCAACCAAAUUCUACCCACAAAGCAGUAAUCAGCCAGCCUGGGGGCUAUGAACAGAAGAUUCUAGACGCAGGAUGCCAUACAUUAAGACUGAACCAAAAACCAUAUAUUACUGUGAAAUAAACAUCUUGGGCCAUACUGGUAUGGAGUCCAAAAAUAAUUGUUACAUUUACCAGUAACAUGUUAGGGGAUUGUUAUUUAGAAAGACUACACCAAAAUCAGCAUGGAACUAAGCUAUCAUGUGAAAAGAAAAUCAAUAACCAUGACAAUUUCACAGAAAAAGAAACAUAAAAAGAAACAACAAUUUAUUUAUUAAAUGAAAGAAACAUUAGCUUUAUGUCUUCAUCAUCAUCACCACCACCAUCACUAUCAUCAUCAUCAUCAUCAUCAUCAUCAUCAUCAUCAUAAGUAUUAAGCUUUCUACUUUCCUGUCAUUUUCCCCUCCAAUCUUUCUUGUUGAUAUUUUUGUGGGUUUCAUAUUUCUAACAGUUUUUCCUUUAAUUUUAUUCCUUCUUAACAUUUCUAUCUUGUUUUUCUUUUUGUUUUGUUGUUCCAUUUUCCAAUUUUAUUUUUACCUAUUUUUUUAUUUAUUUAUUUGCUAUAUUUCAAUUCAAUACUUAUUUUUGUCAUCGACACCCCCUACUAACACCUACUCUUUUUCUCACGCCCUUUUUCUUCUCUCGUUUUCUUUCUUUCUUUCUGUCUUUCUUUUCCAUUCUUGAAAACUGAAUAGCCUUUUCUUCUUCCUCAAACAAUUAUAGAAUGUGCUAAGGCGUAAAUGAAAUCACAUUUAAACAUUAAUGCAUUCUAUAUAGCUGAAUAGGUUUCAAACAAUUCGUUCUUCUUUGUGUUGACAUACAGGCACAUAGAAAGAGAACUAUACACCAAAGACAAUACAUUACAUACAUAUAUAUGCAUGCAUAUUUAUAUAUACACACACACACACACACAUAUAUAUAUAUGUGUAUAUGUAUGUAUAUAUAUAUAAAUAAAUAUAUAUAUAUAUAUAUAUAUAUAUAUAUACUUUAUUAAUAUUUAGCAGUAGUAACAGAGUGACUCAAGGUCCAAGAGUUUCGUGUGUUGGCGCUUCUGCUAAAUAUAUAAUAUAAAGAAUAUAUUCUUAUUUUGAGUUUUAGUUUUCCUGUUUGCACCAACAUACUUAUAUAUAAAUAUAUAUAUAUGAAUGCAUAAGUGGUACAGCAACAUCAAAGGAAAAUUAACCGAGAAGAUAGCUUUCGUGUGCAGCAGAUGCACAGGGGCAAUAGACACCACGGAUACUCAGAAAACAGAUUCCAUCACACUCCAGGGAAAGAAACUAGAAGUAGCUGAUAGUUUCUGCUACCUAGGUAACCAAGUUAGUAGUGGAGGUGGAUGCUCAGAGAGUGUCACCACCAGAAUAAGAAUAGCCUGGGCAAAGUUUAGAAAGCUUCUACCCCUACUGGUGACAAAGGGUCUCUUGCUCAGAGUAAAAGGUAGAUUGUAUGAUGCAUGUGUGCAAAAUGCCAUGCUUCACGGCAGUGAAACAUGGGCUGUUUAGUUGAACAAAUCAGUGCCUGUACUUACUGUUUUGUUCAGCCUGAUAUUUAUUCAAUCAUUCUCUUUUGCCAAACUGCAAAGUUACGGGGGCCUAAACAACCCAACACCACUUAUCAAGUAGAGGAGAAGGAACACAUUACACACACACCUCUAUCUCCUAUUCACCUUUAUUUAUCGGGGUUCCUUUGGACUAUAUGGCCAUGUAAGUCGAAAGCAAUCUCACUAGCAGUGAUGCCAUGACAAAAACAUCUAACAUACUGUAAAAUGGUCGGUGUUAGGAGAGGCAUCCAGCCACAGAAGCAAUGCCAAAACAGAUUUUGCUGCCUGUCAUGGUUCUCCUUAUGAAAUAAUUCUUUUAUUCUUUUACUUCUUUCAAUCGUUUGACUGCGGUUAUGCUGGAACACUUCCUUGAAGGGGUUUUUUGAUGAACAAAUCAACCCCCAGGAUUUAUUUUUUUUAAGCCUUGUACUUAUUCUACCGGUCUCUUUUGCCGAACCACUGAGUUAUGGGGGUCAUAAACACACCAGCACUAGUUCUCAAACAGUGAUGGCAGGAAUAUAUACAGACACAAAGACUCACACACAUGCAGAUAUAUACAUACAUACACAAACACAAACACACACACACACACACACACACACACACACAUACAUACAUACAUACAUACAUACAUACAUACAUACAUACAUACAUACAUACAUAGGAUGAGCUUCGUUCAGUUUCUGCCUACCAAAUCAGUUCAUAAGGUUUUAGUCAGCCUGGGGCUAUAGUAGAAGACACUUGCCCAAGGUGCCAUGCACUGGGAUUGAACUAAUGUCAAUGAUUUAGGUACAAGACAAUUUUGUAGGGAGGAAAGUGGAUGGUUAGUUGAUCAACCCCCACACAUAGCAGGCACCUUUAUUUUACCAGUCCCUUAAGUAUGAAAGCAAAGCUGACCCCAUUUAUACUCUAAGUAGUCUAAGGAGUCAAUGUUUUAAUAAUUCAGCUAGUUAAGCAUAUAAAUUUAUGCUAUUGAUGUUUUGAAUACACCUUUAUAUUUUGUUUUCUUUCUUCAUAAUUUUUGUCUUUUUUGUCUUUUUAUUUUCAUAGUGUUUCUGGUAGCAGGUGUUGAAAGGUAAAAGUAUAUUUUACUCAAGUUGUUCCAUUUGCUGUUCUCUAUUGAGAUCAAGUCAGUCAAGAGGAAACGUAGAUUGACAAUGGCCUUAUCUCAAUCAUUUUAAUUAAUUGGAGUGCUUUGAUUAUUUUCCAUAGUUGCUUCAGUAAACAACUUGUCUUUAUGCUUCAGGUCACAUACCAUAUUUGAGACUUUAAAGGAAAGAUGAAUGUGACGAAUUAAAGAAGUACAAAUACCUCAUUGUAACUGAAGCAGCAGCCCUUUAACAAAAAAUGAACCACAAAUAACCCCUAAAGAAACAUGAACCUCAAAUAAUCUAUGGAAUAUUCUAACACAAGUAAAACCAUUUAAGAUAUUUUAAGCUUCUAUAGAUAUUUGCCUGAAGUUAUUAUUUUCCCUAAUGUUAGGGUUUUCUCUUUUUAAAAAAAACUUUUAUAUGCAAUUGUAAUAAUUCCUAUAUAUAACUACUCUAUAAACUGAAUCUUUUAAAUUUAAAUUUGCCUGAAGCAUUUGGUACUUUAUUUUAAAAAAAAGAAAAAGCCAAAAGGAAACAUUAUUUCUUCUUAUUCAUUUCGUUCUUUAAUAAUUCUAACAAUCAGCAAUUUAAAAUAUUAUUAUUUAAAGUUUGAGCAAUCUUUAAUCCUUGCAUCACAGUUCUUGUUGCCUUUCACAAUUUUAAUGGUUUUACUUCAAUAUAAAUUUAGUGUUUAUAUAUCAGUUAAGGAAAUAUUUUCAGAUUUGUUGGCUAAAAUCAAUUUUUCCUUUCAAAUAUAAAUGCAUUUUCUUGACAAUUCAGCCGUAUCUGACUUGUGAAUAUUCAAGCAAAACUACCCACCUAUAGCCUUCCUCUGUCUACCAUCUCUUGGAUUGUAGCAUGUGCUGGAAGAACCCUCCCUAGCCUACACAUCGACUCUGAUACGAUUCAAAGCUCAAUUUUGUUAUAUGCACUCUUCUGCCCAUCAACAAUUUACUAUAAAAUCACUUUACAUGUCAUUCCCCCCAAUAGCACCCAACCUUAUACAAUUUGUAUAGUCUUCACUAAGCUUCCAUACCCAAAUGCCUCAUCCAUGUGCUCACUGGACCCUCAUUUCAUAUCUACACUGACUCUGUGAACAAGGACAUUCUCAAAAGUGAUCCUAUAACGAUGUCAUAUCAAACUUGUUUCCUUCAAUGGCACUAAGAAACAAUAACUAUAAAUAUAUAAAAAAUAAUAAUUAUAAUACUCCAUUCCAUUAAACAUCAACACCAAAUCCACAAAAUCCACAAGGUCACCACAAAUGCUGACCUCACCAUCAGUGAGGAUCUCUCCAGGUAAACACACACCUUCAACAUAGCAAAGGCUACAUAACAAAGACUGGCCGUAGUCUUCAAGACCAGAAUAUACUUCAUCCCUGAACAACUGCUAACUCCCUACAAAGCUCAUUUGAAACUUACAAUGGAACACUGCUUCCACACUUGGGUUAGUGCUACUGACAUACACAGACUUCCUAACUCACAUUGUAAGCAACACAAUAUGUUAGACUGGCCUAAGCUGCUCACUAUCAAUGCAUAAACUGCUCACUAACACCACUCUAACCUCUGCAUGACACGGACAUACUGUCUUUUCUCUGCAUCUUCUACCACUGCCAUAGCAUUUCCCGCUCACUCGAGUUGGCUGAUCUUCACGGUGCCACUGUUGUUGCCACUACCACCACCACCAAUUACCACCACUCAGGUCCACCCAACCCACUAGUCUUUCCUCCCUUUGCCACCCAAAUUGUGACCACACCAGCAGAUUUGCACUAGCCACUAUACCUAGUUUUCUUUUCUGAUAUUGCCAGCCUUCUGAAAAUACUGCCCUUGCCUGUGUGUGUGGGUUUUUUACCCCCCUGCAACUGUUUCACAUAAACAUCAACUACAUUGGUCUCAAACUUUCAAAAGUUUUGGGGGCACAGCUGUUUUCUCCAUACUAAAUCAUUGAAAAUAAUUAUAUUUCAGAUAAGGUACUAUCACUUAUUAUGACUUUUACUUAUUUGGAUGUCAUUUUAUCUAAAUUUCAGAGAUAUUUGGCUAUUAUUUUUAGUAAGUCAAACUGUGACAGAGGUAUAGUCACUAAUUUACAAAAGGUCAGGUUAGAACCUUAAAGAUGUUUGACUGCAAUGUUGGUAAGCUGAAUGACCACAUGGAAACUCUUUCAAUGGUAUUCAACUCGGUGGAGACAUAGUGGAAAUAGAGAAACAAAUUUGUGACUUGAUCAUAGUUAUUUGGCUGACUGCCUGCAGGUGUGGCAUGGAUCAACAGCACUACUGCUACCACAACCACAACAGCAACAACACAAGCAACAAUUAUGUUGAGGUUCCAUUAUUAGCUUAUACCAUUGUUGGUCUAGUAAACUGAUAUUGAUCAUUUAGUGAGUGUUUAGAUGAAGGCUUGUAGUGUAAAGUUCUUCACUUUCUUUGUCAAAAAUUAAUAUCUGCAUUAGACUUGUCACCUAUCCAGGAGAACCUGUACUUCUUAUCUUUUUGUUGCUAUAGAAAGGGAAAAUGUUCACCAUAACCUUUUGAAUUCUUGCAAUUCAAAAAGAGAUUUAGAUUUUGGUCCUUUAAGCAAUUAGAUCAGUAGUUUACUUGUAUAGAUUUAUUUUGAUUAUGCUGUUCUAUAGAUUUAGAACUUAGAAUGAGAAUUUCUGUAAUAGAGACAUUAAAACAGUGGUUCUGAUAUUUUUGACUUCAUAGCAUAAUGAUGAUCAAACAAAAAUCAUUGUCAUAUUCUAAGUGAAAAGUUAAAAAAAAAGUGACUGACAAGUUUUGCAAGGAAACAUGGAAAAUUUAAAAGAAAGCAGUUUUACAGUUCAAAUUUUUUUUAAAGAUAUAGCAAACCAUUGUUUGCUUUGUCUUUUAUUAAUCAUAUUUGUGUAUAACAGCAUUAUGAAUUACGGUUCUCAAGACACUCAAAUAUUAGUAUGGAUUUUCAAAAGACUUUAAUUAUAUUUUAAAUUACUGAUGCACUUCACAUGAAAACUUUUAAAAAAUUGUUUUAAAGUUUUAAAAAAAUUGAGAAAAAUAAUUAUUAUUUAAAUUUUUUUUUUAAUCAUACUGUAUGUAACAAAAUUAUGAAUAACAUAUUCUUCAACAUGCUCAUGUGUUAAUAUGGAUUUUCUAUAACCUUAAAUUAAAUUUUUUUUCAUGAUUAUUUUUUUCUUUUUAGCAUUUACUUUAUUAUCUGAGUAUAGGUUAUAACUGAACAUAUCAAGCAAUCUGUCUUGUUCUUGUGAAUUUGAUUGGAAGACUUGGAUACUCCAUACAUGUUUUUUCUACAUUUUUUUAAUUAAAUUUUUAGUAAGAGUCAAAGAUGAGUUUAUGAAUUUUGUCCAGAGACUUUGGAGUGAAUUUAUUUAGUUUUGUGUGGUUUCUUUUAAUCUUAAAUCAACUCAUUCACUUUAAUUUACUUUGCUAUCUGUAAAGGUAUAUUGUUCUCUCAGUACUGGGUGAGUGGAGGUGUGUGGCUUAGUGGUCGGGGUGUUGAACUCAUGAUCAAAAGAUUGUGGUUUCAAUUCCUGAACCAGGUGAUGCGCUGUAUUCUUGAGCAAAACACUUCAUUUCAUGUUGCCCCAGUGUACUCAGCUGGCAAAAAUGAGUAAUCCUGUGACAUACUAAAUUGUACAUACUAAAUUCCUGUUUUAAUCGUUACCAAAGAAGUUGAAAUAUAUUUUAACAAUGAUGUUAGUAACUAUGAUUUCCACAUUGAAUUUGAAUCUGCCGUGUGUUUUUUUUUUUUUUGACUUUCAAAACAAGGAUAAAAUGUUAUAGAAUAAAAGGCAUGGAAAAAAAUAGUCUCAGAUCACAAUAUUCACAUAGUAACAAUAUCAGAUGGCACAUGGCAAGUAUUUACCUAAUGGCAUUAGAGUAUCAUUAAUGCAGCAACAAGAUUUACAUUGAUAUUUUGAUUUAACUUUUUCUGUUAUAAUAGUUCCAUUUAAAUACACAAACAUCUAACUCUUUAGCAUUUAAACCAGCCAUAUCUGACCAAAAUAAUUCUGUCUGUUUUAUAUUCAAACCAGCUAGGCCUGGUCUCUCACACCUAUACCCUUGUGAAAAUAAAUAAUCAUAUCAAAAUCUCGAAUUUACAAGAUAAUGUGUGAUUAAUUUAAAACAAUGUGAAUAAAUAAACAUUACAUUUGACAGAGUAAUUGGAACACUAAAAGGUUAAAUUGAUAGUAACUUCAGUAAAAUUUCUCGGUGUUUGGAACAAAUUAAGAUGAAAUUUUGGUAGAUUUUAAUUUAGUUCACUUUAAAAGAAGGAAGUGGGCUGGUAUGAAAGAAUUUAAAUACAAACAGGUUUCAAGUGGUCUGGAAAUAAAAAAAAAAGGGGCUUAAAACAUGACACGGCAAAGAAUCUUCUGUACAAUCUCUUUAUCUGCUUAGAUGUUGCAGCUCAGCUAAAUGCUCAGUAAACACACAAUGCUCAGCAUGCUGUAAUACACUGGUGCACUGCAUGAGUUAUCUAAGUCUACUGCAAAUUUUGAAAAAUAUAUAAUUCAAGAUUUUAAAAAAUCCAUAGUAAUAUAUGAGAGCACCUUGAAAAACAUGUUAUUCAUAAUUUUGUUACAUACAGUAGCAUUAACAAAACACAGUAAAGAAUAGUUGAAUUACUUUUUUCUACAUUUUUAGCUUAGUAAUUCUAAAAGUAUAAUUAAAGUCUUUUGAAAAUCCAUACUAAUAUUUAAGAGUCUUGAGAAGCAAAAUUUAUAAUGUUGUUAUACACAAGUAUGGUUCAUAAAAGGCAAAGUAAACAAUAGAUUGUUAUAUUUUUUAAAAAAUAAUAAAAUUUCUAACUGUAAAAUUGAUUUCUUUUAAAGUUAUUUGUAUGUUUGAAAAAAAUAACUCCAAUAUCCUUCAAAUAAUACAAUGUGGGAAAAGAAGCUCCAGUAAUUCUAUAAAGCAUGUAAACAACUGUAUUAAGGAUACUUGUCUUUGACAUGAAAGGGUAGCAUUCACGGUGUUUUUUACAUGGACAUUAGGAUAGGAAAGAAGGAAGGAAGGAAGGAAGGAAGACAGAAAGGAAGAAAGGUAGGCAGGCAGGCAGGCAGGAAGGAAGGGGGGGGGAAGGAGGAAGGAAGGAAGGAAGGAAGGAAGGAAGGAAGGAAGGAAGGAAGGAAGGAAGGAAGGAAGGGAUGAAGGGAAGAAGGCAGGAAGGAAGGAAGGCAGGAAGGAAGGAAGGCAGGAAGGAAGGAAGGCAGGAAGGAAGGAAGGCAGGCAGGAAGUUAUCUUCAGACUACAAAUCUGGCAUCAAUGCUUGCAACACGAUGGAGUUGACUAUAUGCACCCAGGGGUUAAGCAGUAGUGAGAAAUUAAGUUUGCUGUCCAAAGAACAUGAAAGGUCUGUACAACAAAUUACUACAUAGUUUCUAUCUACUAUAUUUCACACAUGUUUUGGUGGAGCAGAUGCUAUGAUAGAAGACCCUUGAUAUUAGCUAAUUAUUGCACCAUCAUCACCCCCAGUACUUAUUCUCUUUUAAACCUGGUGCUUAUACUAUCAGUCUCUCUUGCUGAACUGCUAAGUUAUGGGCACAUAAACCAUCAUGUUUCUACUGGUUGUCACACGUGUGGUGGGACAAACACACAGGCACAUGUGCACCAUCAUCACCCCCAGUACUUACUCUCUUUUAAACCUGGUACUUAUACUAUCAGUCUCUCUUGCUGAACUGCUAAGUUAUGGGCACAUAAACCAGCACUGGUUGUCAAGUAGUGGUGGGACAAACACACAGGCACAUGUAUACAGAUGACAAGCUUCUUUCAGUUUCCAUCUAGCACAGUGGUUCUGAACCAGGGUCAAUAUGGCCCUUGAAAGUCCAUAUAAGACUUUUGGGGGUCGGCACAAUAAAAGAGUAAAUUGAAGACCCAUAAUAUCAUUUUAAGGAUCCCUGAAAAAAUUUUGCUUUAGAUUUAUGUAUUGGUAUGCAUUGCAAGAAAAAGCUAAGUUUCUUUCUCUAACAUGUUACAUAGUUCAACUUACACAAGUUAAUGUGUGAAAAACAAAAUAGGAAUUUUGAAAGAAGUUUCUAUAAAACCAGUUUUAAAACAUCAAAUAGCUAAGGGGGUUGGUCAGAAUAAAAUAAUAAUCAAAGAGUCUAUAGAUAAAGAAUGUAAACCUCUGUGAAUCAUUCACAAGGCUUUGCUUGACUCAGGGCCAUAGUACUCUUUACUCUCUUUUACUCUUUUACUUGUUUCAGUCAUUUGACUGCGGCCAUGCUGGAGCACCGCCUUUACUCGAGCAAAUCGACCCCAGGACUUAUUCUUUGUAAGCCCAGUACUUAUUCUAUCGGUCUCUUUUGCCGAACCGCUAAGUGACGGGGACGUAAACACACCAGCAUUGGUUGUCAAGCAAUGCUAGGGGGACAGACACACAAACAUAUACAUACACAUCCAUAUAUAUAUACAUAUAUACGACAGGCUUCUUUUAGUUUCUGUCUACCAAAUCCACUCACAAGGCAUUGGUCGGCCCGGGGCUAUAGCAGAAGACACUUGCCCAAGAUGCCACGCAGUGGGACUGAACCCGGAACCAUGUGGUUGGUAAGCAAGCUACUUACCACACAGCCACUCCUGCGCCUAGAAGACUCUUGCUCAAGGAGUUGCACAGUGGAACUGAACCUGAAACCACAUGGUUGUGAAACAAACUUCUUAACCUCACAGCCAUGUCCGCAACUUGUAUUCUUUUACUCUUUCACUUGUUUCAAUCAUUUGAGUGCAGCCAUGCUGGAGGACCACCUUAAUAAUAUAUGUAUGAUUUAAUUUCAUAAAUAGCAGUAGUGUGAUUCCCUUCAUGGGACUGUCACAUGAAGUUGACAGUAUGCAACUACUCUGUCGUACCACUACUGCUUAUAUCUCUCCGAGAUAUUUAGAAAUGUAAUAUUUCUAUUUUUGUAAUCAGACAUCUCCAACUAGCAGGCAAUGCUACUCCAGACUGAUGACGAGCAAAGACUCAAAAACUAGUCUCUGGAUGCAGGCUUAGCUGGACGGAGGUGCUUGUCUCCCCCUUGUAAACAUAAGAACACAGGAAAUGUGUCAAGGCCGACAGGAAGCACUGAUACUUCCUAGGGCUAAAUAGCAGUGCUGUGAUUCCUUUCAUGGGACUGUCACAUUAAGUUAACAGUAUACAACUAAUUUAUUUUCAAAUUUUCUACAAUUAAUAUUUACUCAUAUGUUAAGUGACAAAUUUUGCUUCAUUUUAUUCAUUUUUAUGAUGCCUAUGUAUGUAUGUGUAUUUAUACCUUUGUACCUGAAUUUAUUUCAUAUUGUAGUAUUCUUCAAACAUUUUAACAAAUUCCAGUAAUUCAUGCCAGUCUACCUUUAUGGUACACCUGUUUUAUAUGCAUUCAAGAUCAACUGAUAAUUUAUAGCAUAAUUUUAAUAUAUUCUACAGUUGUUAUAUAAUCCCAGCAGAAUAUUGAUUAACAGCUCACAUUAUAUGGUGAUUUUUAAACCAAAUUUUCACUGAAUUUACCAGAAAUUAGAGUAGUUUUGAAACAAAAUUGGCAUCAUAGAUUUAUGUAAGAGCCUUUUGUCAACUUGUGCUCCAGGCAUCACCUUAAUGUAUCAAUAAAAACGAAAGUUAUAGUUGUAUCAUAAAACCAGUCUAAACUCAUGAUUAAUUAGGAAUUUAAUUGAAACACAGAAAUAUGGUAACAAAAGGAAGGGAACUAGUUGAGAAGUAAAGUUUUAUUAAUUUGUUUCCCAUCCAUAUUUAUUUCCAGUUGCUACUGGAUAACACAACAGUACAUUGGCAGAAUAAAUGCUGGGAGAACUGCCACAUAAUAUUUGGAGCUAACUCUUUAAAUUUUGAUUUAAAAACCUAAUACAAACAAUUGAAGCAGUAUUAAAUUAAAAUAGCCAUUUGUAUAUCAUACUCAAAGUAUACACACUGUCUGUUGACCAAUUACUUGCCGUAAUUGCUUCUUAAACAGAAUGUCUUUAACACAGCAACUCCAUAAGAGAUGUUAUUUCAGGACAAACACUGCAGUAACUGGCCUAUUGCCAAUGUAUAUACAUAAAGUCUGAGUUAAAAUUUGCUUUUUAUCCUUCACCACUGCCAUCACCCCCACCACCACCAUCAUCAUCAUCAUAAUUCAGCAUUUAAUUAUUGUUUACUUUUACAUGCUUACUUAUAUGGAUCAAACAAGAGUGUGUUGGGCCAGAGUUUUCUAUAGCCAGGUGCACUUCCUAUUGUCACCCACAGUAUCUUUUCUCAAGUAAGAUUAUAACCUUUUAGUCAAUCAGACAACAAACAGCCCAGAAUUGUUUGCCUGAAGAACUGGAAACAAAUGACAUCAAAGCAAGUCUUUUGUUUACAAAGAUUGCACAACAUAGGCGCAGGAGUGGCUGUGUGGUAAGUAGCUUGCUAACCGACCACAUGGUUCCGGGUUCAGUCCCACUGUGUGGCAUCUUGGGCAAGUGUCUUCUGCUAUAGCCCCGGGCCGACCAAUGACUUGUGAGUGGAUUUGGUAGACGGAAACUGAAAGAAGCCUGUCGUAUAUAUGUAUAUAUAUAUAUAUAUGUAUGUGUGUGUGUUUGUGUGUCUGUGUUUGUACCCCUAGCAUUGCUUGACAGCCAAUGCUGGUGUGUUUAUGUCCCCGAUACUUAGCGGUUCGGCAAAAGAGACCGAUAGAAUAAGUACUGGGCUUACAAAGAAUAAGUCCCAGGGUCGAUUUGCUCGACUAAAGGUGGUGCUCCAGCAUGGCCGCAGUCAAAUGACUGAAACAAGUAAAAGAGUAAAGAGUAAAAGAGUAACAUAUAAAGACAUCUGAAGAUGCUGCCAUAGUGGACUGCAGGUAAAUAGCACCAUAAGCGAAGCUAUUGUUUAUAGCAAGCAAAACGUGUGUAGACAAGGGGAAUUCAAACCUACACAAAUACACACAACACUCACCACCACACACAUACACAUGUGUGUGUGUCUGUAUGUGUGUGUAUAGUGGUGCAAUUUGAUUUUAUAUAUUCAAGUUGUAAACUUUUAUAUAUUCAAGUUGUAAAUUAUGAAUUAAGAUAUAUAUCAAAAUAAAGAAGAUUUCAUGAGCUUUAAUAUGGUAACAUAUCAAUUUUACAGUGUAACAGCAACAUAUAUUAAUAUCAUCUUAAUUAUUGUAAUUUAUAGCACCAUUUAAUUUAGGAGCAAUUUGUUAAAUUUCAGUUUUUUGCUUUAAAAAGCUUAUUCUGAGAUUAACAAACAAAAAAAAUUAUUAUUAUAAUAAUAAGCUCACACAUCAGUAUUUGGUUGGGUAUCCAAAAUUACUUAAUACAGCUUUGCAUCUGUGAAACAUAGAAUUGUUUACAUUGUUUAUUUCUGUUUCUAAGAUCUUUUCCCAAUUUUGGCUAAUAAUGUUUAAAAAAUCAUUCUUAUUCUUUGACUUACUACUUUGCACAGCUCUACCCAACCUUUCCCAAAGAUUUUCUAUGGGAGAUACGUCAGGUGACUGCACUGGCCAUUGCGUCAACUGAACUCUCUUAGACCUAAUGUAAUCUCUGACUAGGUGCGAGGUGUGUUUUGGAUCAUUGUCAUGCUGGAAAGUUCAAGAUCAGCCCAAAUGCUUUUGGGCAUAUGGAAGCAUAGUCUUAUCUAAUAUUUUUAGAUAGGACUUACUGUCCAUAAUGCCCUUGAUUCAGAUUAUAGGACCGACACCUUUUCCAGACAAGCACAUCCACACCAUCACACUUCCACCACUGCAUUCUUACAUACUUCCUGCCAUCACUGUCGAACAAGUUGAACUUUGACUUGUCCAACCACAACACAUUUAGUCAAUCUGCUGGACUCCAAUUCAAAUGCUCUUUUGCAAACUGUAUUCAGGCACAUCAAUUUUUUAAAGAAACAUAUAGCUUUUUUCAAGAGACUCUGCCCUAGAAGUCCAAAUUCUUUGAAAUGUUUUUUUUUAUGGUGGACACGCCAAUGGCAAGUCCAUAUUUUUGCUGAAUUUCUUUUAAAAUGUCAACAGCAGUCAUUAAAAUUUUUUUUGGAACAGUCUAUGAAUGUAUCUAUCCAUUCAUGCCAUUGUUUCUCUUGGUUGCUCAGGUUGAAAGUGGUCUUUAUAAUCAUUAGUAUAUAAAGAUGGACAGCUUUGUAGGCAGCUGUUUUAGAGCAUCCAACUUCAUUUCAAAUAGCCUUAUGUGACCAUUUCAGCCUACUAAGCUAAACAAUACUCAUUCUGGUGUUAAGUUUUGUCUCUUACUCAUCACAACUAUUAAGUAACUUAGAAAUUGUAACAGCAUGCAAAUUACCCGACGUUUAUAUUAAUCAAUAAGGCAAAAAGAAUGCAAUUUUGCAAAUCAUUCUUCAAUUAAAUGGCAAUGUAACUUACGCAAAAUAAAGUUUAUUUUUAAUUUAAAAUUGAUAUAUUGAUGUUAUGCUGUAAAGCUGUAUACCAUAUUAAAGUUUGUGAAAAUUUCUUUAUUUUGAUAUACAUCUUAAUUCACAAUUUACAACUUGAAUAUAUAAAAAAUGCCAUUUUAACUUUAGUAUACUAGCGUUCUUAAAUUAAAUGGUACCACUGGAUAGUCAAAUCAAAUAAACAAACAAUAAAAUGUAAAAUAACAGACAACAAGAGGACAUGUGCACAAGGAAUGUAUUAGUUUGAUGCUUAGUAAAAAGUGAGAAUUUUUGACGUUUCAAGCAUAGCUCUUUGUCAGAAAAGAAAGUGGGAAAAGUUCAAAGAAGGAUAAAAAAAAAUCACCAACAGCACACGUGGAUUAUGGUUACCAUUGUUUUUAUGUUAAGUCCCUCAACAAUUAUCAAGGCUUUGACAAAGAAAAUAAGUGCUUGCUUUCAUAUUGGAUUAAACCCAAAUAAAAAAAAAUACCACUGUACACACACACACAUAGAUGAUGAGGUUCUUUCAAUUUUCAUCUACGAAAUUUACUAAAGUCUUUGGUCAGCAGAGUGCUAUAGUAGAAAACACUCACUCAAAGUGUCACACAGUAGGACAGAACCUGAAACUAUGUGGUUGAGAACUGAACUACUUUACCACACAACCAUGCUUGUGCCUUCUUGGAUUGAUGAAAUGAAUUGUAGUACUAGGCUUGAUAUAAUCAAAUGCACCCGAAGUGUGCAGCUUAGUAUUCAUAGUGGAAAUUAUCACACUACAGCAUAGUAAUUUUGUAGCGAGGUAUAAAAUCUCGUAUUCAUCAGAAGAAAAAGGAAGUUGUAUUAUUUAUGCCUUUCAUAAAAAGAGAAGACCAUUAUUAAUGUAAGUGAAACGCAGUCUAAAAUGGGAACUGAAAACGAAUAAAUGAUUCAAUUAAUAAAAAUAGAUAAUUAACAAUAAUUAUCAAUUAGAUGCAAAGCCUUAAGCAUUCCUCUCAUAAUGAUAACCACAGCAACAGUACAGACACCAUUUAGUUCUCAUUAGUUAAUUUCAUUAGGAAGUUGCAAAAUAAACGAAAUACUUUUGUUAAGUGAGAACAUAACUAUUCUUAGGAGAGUUGGCUGUUGAUCAUGCUAUCAAUAAUCACACUCUAUUAUUGAUUGACUGAAGACAAGCAAGUUCUAAAAUGCUAUUUUAACUUUUAAAUAACUAUCACCGUUAUCAUUACCAUCAUCCGCAUCAUUAUCAUUAACAUAAUUAUAAACUAUUAACAGUGCUAUUUUCAUUAACAUUAUAUCAGGUUAUUAGGGUCAUAGUGUAACAGUUUCAUAUUGGCUAACUAAGUCCAUCAUUUGGUUUCUAUUCAUAAUUGCAAUUUCUUUAAUUAUAUCUCUAACGGCAUUCUGGAAAAGUGCUAAUUCAUCACACCUUGGCACACCAUCUGUCACCAAAGAUUUCUUUUCUUUUAGAGGAACAAAGCAAACAAAACGAAUACCACAAUUAUAUAAAGCGUAUUCAAUAUAUAAUUGAUCAUAGCUGACCCCUGAAGUUAUGUCAUAUGGUGGUUUGUGUCAUAAGUGAAUGUAAUAAAGAACUGUAGUGAUAUCACAUGGAGAUUUAUGAUAUAGCUGAUUGUAAAUAAGCACUCCGAUAACAUCAUAACAUCAUAACAAAGUAGUGUAGAAAUAUCACAUGGUGAUUUACGACAUAAGAAUUUUAACUCUUUAACAUUUAAAUCAGCCAUAUCAGACCUGUUUAUAUCAGGCUAUAUUCUAUCUGUUUUAUGUUCAAAUCAUCCAGAUGUGGCCUCUCACACAUAUUCUAAAGUGUCAUUCUAAAAAUAAACAAUCACAUCAUUGAAAUCCCAAAGCUAUGAGAUAAUGCAUAAUUAAUUCAAAACAAUGUGAAUAAAUUAUUCAUUACAUUUGACAGAGUUAUCUGUAUGCUAAAGGGUUAAGUAACCACUUUAGCAAUGUCCCAUGAUGGGUUAAUGUCAAUGCUUCUCAUAGUGCACAGUAUUGCCCCCUAAGUGAUAGGGGAAAUUUUUAUAUAGGUACUGAAGACAAAGAGGGUGUCUUUUAAAUACCCUAAUUUUCAAAAAUAUUUUCAAUCUUUAUCAUGUGUGUAUGAAUCAUUUAGUGAAAUUAGUGGUUGAAAUAAAUCAGUCAGCUAACAGAACCAUGAGUACAUUGGAAGAAACACUUAGUAGUAUUUCUUCUGGCUCUUUGCAUUCUGAGUUCAAAUUCCACCAAGGUCUACUUUGUUUUCCAUCCUAUUGAAGUCAAUAAAGUACUGCUGUGGCCAAAAGUUUGGAACAUUUUUGUGACAUACUAACUUCUAUUUAUUAAAGGUAAGCAAUUUGGCCUAGAACUAUAUUUUUGAUUUUACCUAUUUUUUUCUUCUAGUGAUUGAACUAUUGGACCAAUUAUUGAAAUUUAGAAUGUUUAUAUUAAAUGUCCAAAGUUAUAUUUAAUUUGUAAUUUAUUCUUACUUGGCCAAAAGGUUGGAACAUAGGUCUGAAAACUUUUUCUUCUAGAUAUUGACCCAUGGGAUCAGUAAUUAGGUAAGUAUAUUUCUACAAUGCCUACAUUUAAAUUGAAUUGUAGUUGGGGAUACUCUUUUACUUGUUUCAGUCAUUUGACUGUGGCCAUGCUGGAGCACCGCCUUUAGUCGAGCAAAUUGACCCCAGGACUUAUUCUUUGUAAGCCUAGUACUUAUUCUAUCGGUCUCUUUGCCGAACUGCUAAGUUACGGGGACAUAUUCACACCAGCAUCAGUUGUCAAGCAAUGUUGGGGGGACAAACACAGACUCACAAACAUAUACACACACACACACACAUAUAUAUAUACAUAUAUAUGAGAAGCUUCCUUCAGUUUCCAUCUACCAAAUCCACUUAGGCUUUGGUUGGCCCAAGGCUGUAGUAGAAGACAUUUGCCCAAGGUGCCACGCAGUGGGACUGAACCCGGAACCAUGUGGUUGGUAAGCAAGCCACUUACCACACAGCCACUCCUGUGCCUAUAACAAUUUUAAUUUUUUUAAAAAUGUUCCAAACUCUUGGCCAUGACUAAGUUUCAGUUGAACACUGGGACUGAUAUAAUCAACUUGAAACUUGCUAGCCUUGUGUCAAAAUUUGAAACUUGUAUUAAUGCUUGAAAUUUUGUUUUGACAUUAUUGUUCACUUUUCUGUCUUGUUUUGUUUUAUUCUUUGUACUGUGUGUGAACUUUCAGUUUUCAGUUGUGUCUUUCUCUACUUCACUUGAUGUCCCCUCUUUUACUCAUUUCCAACAAGUUUUUGCAUAUCUGAGCCCUGGAUGCAAUGAAUCAUCAUCAUCAUCCUCAUCAUCGUUUAACGUCCACUUUCCAUGCUGGCAUGGGUUGGACGAUUUGACUUGGGACUGGUGAGCCAGAUGGCUGCACCAGGCAAAUGGCUGCACCUGGCAAAUGGCUGCGCCAGGCAAAGAUGGCUGCACCAGGCUAUUUUAAAAAUAUGGAAUGCUUCACAAAUUUGUGCAUCAUCCUUGCACAGGGGGCCAUGCUAAUCUUCUCUGUAUCAUUCCAAUUUUAGAAUAUGUACCGCCGUAGCAGUACAAUGACCUUCAUAAACUGUAAUGUUGUCUCAUGGUAGUUUAUGUCAUAAAUGGUUGCAUGUGAUGAUGAUGAUGAUCAUCAUCAUCAUCAUCAUCACCAUCUUUUAACAUCUAUUUUCCAUACUGGCAUAGGUUGGAUGAUUUGACAAACCAGAAGACAGCACUGGGCUUCACUGUCUACUUUGGCAUGAUUUUUAUGGCUAUAUGCCCUUCCUAAUACCAACCACCUUACAGAGUGGACUAAGUGCUUUUCACAUAGCACCAGCACUGGCAAGUUCUGUUUUAGCAAGGUUUUUACAGCUGGAUGCUCUUCCUAGUGCCAGCCACUUUUCAAAGUGACUUGGGUGCUUUUCAUGAGGUACAAGUACCUGGCACAUAUUAAUUCACUCUGGGCCUCAGGAAAGCGCUCUUCUUUAGCCCUAGGUUAGUCUGACCAAGCAGGACUGUGAUAAAGGGCAUCUGAUAAAAGGCACAUUAUCUAAUGUGCCUUUUUUUCAUUUGAAGGGAGUUUAACUGCUAUUUCUAGCAGAUUCAAUAAUCAUGUAGAGGCUUAUCUGUAGAUACUGGUGAUAGAUACAGUUAUAGGUGGAAAUAUAGACAUGUUCAGAGAAGUAGUCAUUUCAUUAUUGCAUUUAUAUUUUUAGUCACAGUGUAUCCAAUGUGUCCCUUCUUUUUUUUCAUAAGACGGUGAAUUAUUUUAAAUGACAUUUUUGAGCAAGUGAAAUGACUACAAAGAGAGAGAUAGACAAAUUGACAGACAGAAACUCUUUUGACUCCUACCAUAGAAUGCAAUGGGAGUUGAUUUUAUGUGAUACACCAUACAAAAUGCCAUGGUAGACUGAUUCUGAAAUAUUUGUGGCUCUAUAUCCCUUCCAAUCCCAGAAAGUUCCUGAGUUAACUAGAUAAUAAAAAUGCCAUGGGAGAUGAUUACAGGGAAUCACAAAAGAGUAACUUAUAGAUCAAGCACUUCAAUAGAAAUAUCUUCAUGUAGGCAAUAAUGAUCUCUGUAGAAUGGUUACACAAACUGAAAUCAAUUAACACCUGCUGACACACAAAAGGUAGAAAUAUUUUGUGGCAGGGUGGAGGUUGUGGAGUACCCCUACAUUAGGCUGAGGUCCUGACUGGUGUUGCUGUUGUUGUUCUUGAUUAGCCCCACUGAACCCUAUUCAAAUAAGUUAAAUAAACCAGGUGAAUCUACUUGAUGGUUCAGUCAUUACCAUGCUGUUUUUUAUUUUUUUUUUAUUUUGGAUUUUUCUGAGAUAUUGCGUUUCUAAGAGUGGUAACUGUUAAUCUUCCUCAACAGAAAAGAAAAAAAAAACUUGCUCAAGAAAGGUGCAAGCAUGGCUGUAUGGUUAAGAAGCUUACUUUGCAACCACAUGGUCUUCUAGAGCUGGCAGAAUUGCUAGAAUCGUUAGCAUGCUGGGAAAAAUGCUUAGUGGUUUCAUUGGUCUUUAUGUUCUGAGUUCAAAUUCCACCAGAGUUGAUUUUAUCUUUCAGCCUUUCAGGGUUGAUAAAUUAAGUACCAGUGAAACACUGGGGUUGAUGUAAUUGACUAGUUCCCUUUCUUAAAAUUUCAGGCUAUCUGCUUUUACUAGAAAGGAUUAUAGCCCUGGGCUAGCCAAAGCUUUGUAAGUGAAUUUGGCAAGUGGAAACCGUGUAUUAAGGAGUUUACUUCCCAGCCUGGGUUCAGUUACACUGCAUGGCGCCUUGAACAAGUGUCUUUGACAAUGGCCUCAGGCUGACCAAAGCCUUCUGAGUGGAUUUGGUAGACAGAAACUGAAAGAAGCUCAUCAUAUAUAUGUGUGUGUGUGUGUCUUUGUGUCUGUGUUUGUUCCCCAUCACUGCUUGAUAAUGGUGUUGGUGUGUUUAUGCCCCCAUAACCUAGUGGUUCAGCAAAAGCGAUUGGUAGAAUAAGUGCCAGAUUUUAAAGAAAUAGUGCUGGGGUUGAUUUGUUUCAACUAAAUUCCUUCAUGGCCUCAGUCUCAUGACAAACAAGUAAAAGAUGUAAAAGAUAUAUAUAAACACAUAAACACAUAGAUACAUACAUACACACACAUAUAUGUAUGUAUACACAUAUGUAUGUAUGUUUAUAUAUAUAUAUAUAUAUAUAUACACACACACACAUAUGUAUGUAUGUAUGUAUGUAUGUAUGUAUGUAUGUAUGUAUGUAUGUAUGUAUGUAUGUAUGUAUGUAUGUAUGUAUGUAUGUAUGUAUGUAUGUAUGUAUGUAUGUAUGUGUUUACCACCCCCCACCUCUGCUUGAUAACCAGUUCAGCAAAACUGACUCGUAGGAUAAAUACCAGACUUAAAAGUAAUAAUAAAUACUGGGGUCAAUUUGUUCAACAAAAACCCUUCAAUGUGGUGUCCCAUUGUGGCUGCAGUCCAAUGACUGAAACAAGCAAAAGCUAAAUGAAGUAUGUACAUACAUGCUCAGACGCAUAGUCAACAUUGACCAACAGAAAUCCCAUGUAAUAAAUGCGUUUAACAAAUAGGUAAUUCAGCUGGUUGAAUAACUUAAUGUCUAUCAUCAAAACCAUUGAAGACCCAUUAUGCAUCUGAGAGUACAUUAAGCAGAGUCCUACACUUUGUCUUUUUUGAUUGUUUUCUUUUUUGAAGCUGAAAUUUGGUGGUGUAUGAUAAACCAAGGUGAUAACUGUCAUGAAAUAACAAGUAGACAUUGAUAAAAUGCAAUAUCUUCACUAGAAUUAAUUUUCAUGGAUAUAUGUGACAUAACUGAAUAGAGACCAGCAUCGUAGGAGGAUAAGUAUUGCCAUAACAAAGUGAUUUUACAUCAAAAUAUCAUGGAGUUUAUUUUAUUCAUUUAUUCCAUAUCACAGUUCAUGAACAACAUUAUUGUUGGCUAAAGUUUUCUCCAAUAGGUAAAUAGCUCAUUCUCUGCAUUUCUGAUGGUGAGUGUUUGUAAUUCAUCACAGAACAAAUAUCACAAAGGACUUCAAUUGAAAGCACCCCACCCCCACAACAGACAUGUGCAUGUGAGCACACAUGCACACACAUACACACACACCAUGGCCUUCUUUCAGUUUCCAUUUACCAAGUAAGGAAUCAUUUUCCUCAUGGCCAGAUAUGUUUGGUUGUUGCAUCCCAAUGCACACCCACACAUGGCCGCCCAACUGCUGAAACCAUUAACCAAUUGGGUUUUGAGGUGCUGGAACACCCUGUCGACAGCCUUCCUAUAUCCCUUCCUAUCCUAGAGAGUUCCUGAGUUAACUAGAUAAUAAAAAUUUCAUGGAAGAUGAUUACAGAGAAUCACAAAAGAGUAACUUACAGAUCAAGCACAGGAUCCAACAAACCACAGGAAUACACUGCUCUGGUGAGAUCUCUACAGCUGGAUGCCCUUCCUAAUGACAACCCCUUUACAGAAUGGUUGCUUUUUUUUUACCUUGUGACACUAGCACUAGUAAGGUCACUAUAUCUGAUGAAUAGACAGGAUGGUUAUUGCUGAAAUAUCAUUGAUCAUAGGCCUGUUGAGUCAAGACUGACCUGGGGCUAAACAACAACAUCAAAGAAAGGUGUAUUAGAUAAUGCAGUCUUAUUUCUCUCACCUUAACAUGUACUCACUGGCUGUAAGCAAUGACUUCACUCAAGAGUAACAUUUGCUUGCAGUCCACUGAAAAAGAGUGCCCAAACUCCCUAACAUGCCUUGAUAUGCUAUGUGGGUUUAAUUUGCUUCAAGAUUUUUUUUUUAAUAUAAAUAUAUCCAGCUUGUUUGUUUUGCAAGUAUAGAAGAAUAGACAUUAAUGAUGAUGAUAAUGCACAUACCUGUAGCAAGCUAAUUAAAAGUGUAUUCAAAUAGAGGGUGAUUGUAACAAAAAUUUAAUAAAAAAUACAAAUUUGGGAAGGAGAAUUUUAAGGACUAACUUUAUAUUCAUUAUAUUGACAAGUAAGGGAGACAACUUCACUGAACUUGAUAGUGAUGAAGAAGUCACUAAUGGUGUUUUUAUAAGAAAUAAACCUCAUUGUCCAUUUUUGCUUUUCAUCAUUCCAGGCCUGGUCAAUAGAAUAUCUAUUCUUCUCUUGGUCCAUCCUUGUGUAUAUCAGCUAUGUUGUACUGUAAUAAAUGUCACAAGAAACCCAUGGAGAGCAUCCCAUUCCCCAGAAAUUGGGAAGAGUUGAGCAAAAAGCUUGUAAUUAUUUCUCAUGGAGAUUCUGUUAUUUCAUCCACAGGAACUGUCCAUAAACAGACCAGAGUACAGAACAGUAUAGAACAUAAAUUAAGAAACUAAAUAAAGAUAGAUAUAUAAAAAGUUCAGUGUGUUUAAUAAAUAUCAUCACAUCAUAUAUAUAUAUAUGUGUGUGUGUGUGUGUGUCUGUGUUGGUCUCCCAUCACUGCUUUACAAUCCUAUGAAUCUGGGUUUACUUCUCAACUUGGGUUCAGUUUUACUGCAUGGCACCUUUGAUUCCACUAAACAGAAUCAUCAUCAUCAUCAUCAUCAUCAUCAUCAUCAUCUUCCUUAAGAAUCUGUGUUCCAUACUAGUAUGGGAAUUGAUUUUAUGUGAUACAUCAUACAAAAUGUCAUGGUAGACUGAUUCUAAAAUAUUUGUGGCUCUACAGCCCUUCCUAUAUCCCUUCCUAUCCUAGAGAGUUCCUGAGUUAACUAGAUAAUAAAAAUUUCAUGGAAGAUGAUUACAGGGAAUCACAAAAGAGUAACUUACAGAUCAAGCACAGGAUCCAACAAACCACAGGAAUACACUGCUCUGGUGAGAUCUCUACAGCUGGAUGCCCUUCCUAAUGACAACCCCUUUACAGAAUGGUUGCUUUUUUUUUUACCUUGUGACACUAGCACUAGUAAGGUCACUAUAUCUGAUGAAUAGACAGGAUGGUUAUUGCUGAAAUAUCAUUGAUCAUAGGCCUGUUGAGUCAAGACUGACCUGGGGCUAAACAACAACAUCAAAGAAAGGUGUAUUAGAUAAUGCAGUCUUAUUUCUCUCACCUUAACAUGUACUCACUGGCUGUAAGCAAUGACUUCACUCAAGAGUAACAUUUGCUUGCAGUCCACUGAAAAAGAGUGCCCAAACUCCCUAACAUGCCUUGAUAUGCUAUGUGGGUUUAAUUUGCUUCAAGAUUUUUUUUUUAAUAUAAAUAUAUCCAGCUUGUUUGUUUUGCAAGUAUAGAAGAAUAGACAUUAAUGAUGAUGAUAAUGCACAUACCUGUAGCAAGCUAAUUAAAAGUGUAUUCAAAUAGAGGGUGAUUGUAACAAAAAUUUAAUAAAAAAUACAAAUUUGGGAAGGAGAAUUUUAAGGACUAACUUUAUAUUCAUUAUAUUGACAAGUAAGGGAGACAACUUCACUGAACUUGAUAGUGAUGAAGUCACUAAUGGUGUUUUUAUAAGAAAUAAACCUCAUUGUCCAUUUUUGCUUUUCAUCAUUCCAGGCCUGGUCAAUAGAAUAUCUGUCACAUUUUGGCUCAAUUCUUCUCUUGGUCCAUCCUUGUGUAUAUCAGCUAUGUUGUACUGUAAUAAAUGUCACAAGAAACCCAUGGAGAGCAUCCCAUUCCCCAGAAAUUGGGAAGAGUUGAGCAAAAAGCUUGUAAUUAUUUCUCAUGGAGAUUCUGUUAUUUCAUCCACAGGAACUGUCCAUAAACAGACCAGAGUACAGAACAGUAUAGAACAUAAAUUAAGAAACUAAAUAAAGAUAGAUAUAUAAAAAGUUCAGUGUGUUUAAUAAAUAUCAUCACAUCAUAUAUAUAUAUAUGUGUGUGUGUGUGUGUGUGUGUGUCUUACGCACUGAGGUCGAUAUAAUCGACUUAAUCCGUUUGUCUGUCCUUGUUUGUCCCCUUGGUGUGUAGCCCCUUAUGUAUGUAUGCAUGUCUAUAUAUAUAUGUGUGAGUGUCUGUAUGUAUGUAUAUAUAUAUAUAUAUAUAUAUAUAUAUGUUAUACAUAAAAGUAUCUUUCAUACAUGUUACUCAUAUUCAAUUACAUACAUACACACACAUGUAUGUACAUAUAUAUACAUACAUAUCUGUGUGUAAACACAUAUAUGUGUGUGUGUGUGUAUGUACAUACACACACACACACACACACACACACACACACACACACACACACACACAUUUACAUGCACAUACACACAAAUACUCACAAAUAGCCAUCUGAUUAAACAAGCAAAACACACAUAUAUCACCAUAUAUCUGUGCCAUAUAUCUCAGUCAUUUCUAACAUUUAAUUUGAAACCUAUGAACACAUAAAUCUUUUUAUCAAUCAUUUUCUCCAAUGUUUUUCUACAUAACUUCUUCCUUUCCUUUUUCUUUUUUUCAUCUUCUUAUUAUUAUUCUUCUCCCUCUUCCCCCCCACCCAGUUUCACUGAAUAUAUUUCAAAUAUGAUAUCAUAACUUUGGUUAAACACAGGAAAAAUAUGAUUGAGCAAUAUAAAGAUUUCUUUGACAUUCUCUGAGGUCCUGCUAAUUAUGUAACUGGAGAAAACAUGCUUUGUGCAUUUCUUGUCUUGUCAUUUCUCUUUAAUUCGUCUUACUUUGAUUUCUACUUCUUGCCCAUCCAGCCUGGCACCACCUCUUUUAAAUGUUUUCACUUCAUUGCUGCCCAUCCAAUUACUAAAUCUAGCUAUCACUAACAUUACAACAACAAGCGUGCAUCCAUCCAUACAUACAUACACAUAUAGAUACCCCUGCUGCUUCUACACAGAACAAAUAUCUAUCAAUAUUACUAUGGCUGGCAAAACUAUGCAUGUAUUUAGGCUUAUAUAGUGACCACCACUGUCAUCAUCAUUAUCACCAUACCAGUAUGGCUGGAAUGGGUUGACAGGGAACCAGUGAACUGCAGGCUGUGUCAAGCUCCAAUGCUAUUUUUGGCAUGAUUUCUUCUUGUGGGUGCCCUCCCUAAUGCCAAGUACUUGACAGAGUGUUCUGCAUGCCUUUUUUUCAUGCUACCAGCACUAGUGUGGUUGUCAUGUAACUUGCAAGACAAAAAAGAAUAGAGAAGGAAAAGAAAAAAAGGGAGGAAAAAGCUUUUACUACAAAGAAGUGAAGGCACCUGGCUCAGUGGUUAGAGUGUUAGGCUCACAAUCAUGUGGUAGUGAGUUAGAUUCCCAGACCAGGCUGUGUGUUGUGUUCUUGAGCAUGACACUUUAUUUCACAUUAUUCUAGUUCACUCAGCAGUAGAAAUAAGUUGCAAUGUCACUGAUGCCAAGCUGUAUUGGCUUUUGCUUUUCUCUUGGAUAACACCAGAGACUGAUAUGCCUAGAUAACUGCUGGUCUUCUAUAAACAGACUGAUUGGCAUAAAAUCGUUCACAAAGAUACUCCAGCCUCUGGUCUACAGCUUUUUCUACAUCUGCUAAUAUAAUGGCCUUAGCUCCUUAGAAAUGGUUGGUCUCAUGUCACAUUCUCUCAAGUACUUCCACCUCACUCAUCUCUCCUCCUCUUAUCACCCUUGUGGUGUCCAUUUCCCACCCAGACCUUACACUAAUGACUACACCCAGUCAUUCCUUCCUUCUAGUAUUCAAUCUUGCUAAUCCUCAUAUCUUUCCAGCCAGUGUUGACCAACAAAGGUUCAAAAGUGACCAGCAUGGCAUCAGUCUCACUGGACUAAGAAGGCCUGCAAAGGUUCCUGACACUGCCCAUUCCUCCUCAUAAGCACUGACCAUUCCAGCUAAGUACUAUCCAGCUCCAUUUCAAAGGCACUUCCUGGUUCCAUCAUCUUUGAAUGUGUCCAGAAAAUGACCACUAGACUGAUUGACAUAAAACCAUUCACAAAGACACUCCAGCCUCUGAUCCACUACUUUUUCUACCUCUGCUACUAUAAUGGUCUUAGCUCCUUGGAGCUAGUUGGUCUCAUGUCACCUUCACUCAAGCACUUCCAUCCCACUCAUUUCUCCUCCUCCUAUCACCUUUGUGGUGUUCACCUUCCACCAGGCCCUACACUAAGGACUACACUCAGUCCUUCCUUUCCUGUUCUCAGCAACAGUAAAGGUGUUGCCUCCAGGAUCAUUGGGUCUUCUUUUUAGACACAGUCUAUCCUGGUCUAUAUUGUUAAUUAGUCUGAAAUAGUAAAGUGAAUGUGUGUAUGUGUGCAUGUGUCUGUGUAUCUGUGUGCAUGUGACCUUAGAGUGAUUUCACAGUUAUUUCUAGCAGGUUGAGUUGCUAUUUAGAAGCUUCCACACCAGCCUCAUAUGUGCAAUGUUCAUAUUGAUUGAUGCAUGUAAAAAACAUUAAAACCCAUUACUGCUGCAGUAUAAUCAUCAUCAUCAUUAUCAUCAUUAUCAUCAUCAUCAUCAUCAUCAUCAUCAUCAUCAUCAUCAUCAUCAUCAUCAUCUAUACCACCACUGCCAGCACAACAAUCAUCCUUGUCAUUAUCAUCAGCAACAGCAACAUCACCUUUAUCAUCAUCAUCAUCAUCAUCAUCAUCAUCAUCAUCCCCCUCUUCAUCAUCAUCCUCAACAGCAUCAUUGUCAACAUCAUCAUCCUUACCAUCAUCCUCAUUAUCAUCAUUUCUGUCCUCCUCACCGUCACUAUCAUCAUCAUUGUUACAGUUCUUAUCUUUACCAUCAUCUCUGGCAGUAAUUAACAGCUAGCAGCAACAUUUUGUCAAGUCUUUUCUGUUUUUCUCAUUUCUCAUUUUUGACAUUUAAAAAAUAAUUUUAAUAUCUAAUACUGUCCCCCAGGUUCAAGCCCUAAGCUAGCUAGACAUUUUGCUCUAAAUAUUUCAAAAUGUUUUGCUGGAAAAUAAAUACACCCCCACUAGCACCCUUAUCCUCACCUCAGUCACUUCACAGUUAUUUCAGCUUAGUCCCACAUGAACUCUGAUCAAGUAGACUUUAUGAUCAGAGACAUUCCAACCAUAACCAUCACUUUUAUUUAUUCAUUAUUUUGUUUUUAGAGGUGUAUCAGGACUAUGUUGUUUAAUGUGUUCCACCCCUUUUAAGACAGUAGGGUGUUAUUUGAAGGAAAUUUGGCUGCUUUAGUUGCGUAGGAAGGUAAUAAGAGAGGCCUUAAAAGACAUUGUACAUCAUAAUUUCCUGCCCAUUGGUAAAGCAUUUACUGAAUACCCAACUCUGACGAACCAUUAAAUUUAUGCUAGCAGGUGGAAAAUAAAAUAUGAAAAUGGAACAUAAAAGACAGGAAUAAGAUGUCAUUUCAAAAGAAAUCACACACAGGGGAAUUCCAGGAAAAAAUCUUCAUGAAUACAGAGAAAAGAAAACAAGGAAAAAAUAAACGGAAGCAACUUACUGUAACUGAAUUAUUGUAUAUCUAUAAGACUUCUACCCUUAUUGUUACGCGUAUUCCUUCAAUCGUUUGUGAAUUUGAAUUAGACAUACAAGAGUGAGUAAGGAUAUAAAACAGCUUUUGUUAAUAUUGCUAUUAAUCCUGAAAUAUAUCAAUUAUAUACUAGCCAUUUAUUACUGAAAUAGAUAGUUUUUCAGGCAGGACUCUCUGAGUGUGUGCUGACACUGUCCACUUAGAUUCCCAAUUAAAGCAAUUUUGUUUCACUGAUAUCACUAAUGCCUCUUUUCUUUUUCCUUUCUCCCUCUCUUUUUUUUUUUUUGUAUGUAUAAGACAUUAGUAAUAUUGCAACGUCUCGUUUAUGUUUGACUAAAACAUAUGUGCUUCAUGGUUAAUUGUUAAUGAUUCGAUUUUGUUUUUCUUAUUUGUAUAGCUUCAAAUAAUUAUACUUAAGCUAUUAAGACAGUUUAAGUUAUUGAGGUAAGCCUAGCAGCUAACUGUAUCUCAUAAAGCCAAUUAUUGCUAACAUACGUUGUAAAUGGCAUGGUUGGACAUUGUCUUUCCGUUUUUGUUCAUUGAAAAUAACUAAGUACUCAAUAUUCCUAUACACAAUGGGAUGGUCAUGACUGGAAUGUCUUUAAUCAGAAGCAUGCUUGAUCAGAUUUGACUUGGGACUAAACAGCAGCCACAGCAAAAGCAACAAUCUUAUAUGAAUGAAAGCAAAGCUGUCAUAAAUAUAAACAAGAAAUUGGGGAAGGGAAGGUACUGUGAUCAUGCUAAGGUAUCAUCAUCAUCAGUUUACAUCUGCUUUUCAUGCAAACAUGUUGGACAUGUCCUAAUGAGUGGAGUCGGUUCUCAUUUAGAGUUACUGAAUACAAACUUACACUCACACACACAAUCACACACACACAAAAGUACAGGCUUCUGCAGUUUCUGUUUACCAAAUUCCAUUCACAAGGCUUUGGGAAACCUAUAACGCUAUGUCAGAAAACAUUUACUGAAGGUCGUAUUGAACCUGAAACAUCAAGACUCUGUAUGUCAUUGUAAACAAAACAUUUUCAAAAAUCAGCCAUAUUUUUGUGAUCAAUUUCAAUACAGAAGUGAUGCAAACAUAGCUGAAAACUCCUUGCAACUAUUUCAAAAUUUUUCCACAAAUUAAAAUAAAAUACAAAAAAAAAAGAAAAAAUUCAAAUAAAAUAUUGUUUUUGAUUAGCUUAUUUAUAUACAGUCUUGUAGGCAAAUAGCAAGAAUUUCUAAAGCAUGAAAUUAUUUGGUGUCCUUUGGUGCUUUAAGGGUGAAUUCUAAUUAAAGUAUACAGUAAUGUAUUACUUUACAAUUAGGUUUAUGACAUUUUCUGUGACAUAGGAAAUAAAAUAUUUACAAAGUAUAUAAUCAAAGCCAUAAACAUGCUGUGUUGUAUUCUAUUCAGCUAGCUACAAAUAAUUUAGCAUUUCAAACACCUUGAGCUUCUGUUUUUCAGCUUCAGUGAGACUGGCUAACACAAUAUUUGCCUAUCUAAUUCACAACCUGUUAGCAUAUAUUUCACGACACUCCAGUAUUCAAAGGCUUGACUAGAUGACUACUUGACCAUUAGCUAGUGUAAUGUAUCAACUUCUAAAAUGUUUUAUAAGUAAACAAGUGUGUUGUUGUAUACUUAACACUUUAGCAUCAAUAAAGCUAAUGAUGUUACGCUUACUUUUCAUUAACACCUUUUACCUUCAUAAGCACAGGUAUAGCCAGAAGUGUAGGUAUGACUGUAUGGUUUAGAAGUUCAUUUUUCAAUAUCUCUGCAUUCAAGUUCAGUCCUACUGUGUGGUACCUUGGGCAAAUGUUUUUCUGCUCGUCUCAGGCUGACCAAAGCCUUGUAAGUAAGUAAAUUUGGCAGAUGGAAAUUGCAAGAAUCCCACCAUGCAUGUGUGUGUACAUUUGUAUUUCCUUGUCUUGAUAUAGCGUAAGAGUUACAAACAAAUGUUGCUGCCACACCAACAGUGUCAUUCAUUUCCAAGCUUCCAUAGAAACAUGUUUGGCUAUGAGGAAAAUGAUUCCUCACUUGGAAACAGGUGAUGAUAGGCAAUGAUAGUACAUUUAAUUAUAGAAGCACAUUUAAUUAUAGAAAAUCUGCCUGAAUGAAUUCUGUCAGAUGCAGUUAAGCAUGGGGCAAAAGGACCUUAAAGUGACAAUGGUGAUGAAUAUUAACAGUAAACGUGAUCAAAUGAUGAAACUAAAACAGCUUUAAGCUCUUGUUGUUAGUGUUGCUGUUGUUGUUGUUGUUUAACCACAGGUCAAUUCUAGUUAUGUUCAAACACAUUCCAGUCAUGAGUCAAUAUAUUUCCUCAUAAGUAUAACUAAAAUGAGAAAAAGAUCAGCAUCAAUUUCAACAAUGGAUAUUUAGUUAUUUGACCCUCUAAAGUACCUGCUCAUUGAAUUAGUAUGCAAGUGGCUGAGUACUCCACAGAUAUAUAUGUAUCCUUAACAUAAUUCUCAAGUAGAAUCAGCAUGACAGGGUGUGUGAUAAUGCUGGACCACUCAAUUCUAGAUCAGCAGCAGCUGUUCAUCAUGGGUUGAUAUUGGCUGUUCUGUUCAGACUUCUCCAAACAAAAUGUCUUAGGAUGGCAAGUAAGGCAGUUGGUGUCACUCCCCCUGCCAGACUGCCUCUCUGGACCUCCAUGCCAGGUACCAAGUGUACAAAAGUGCAACGAGCAUGAUCGACGAUGAGGCUGCCCCGCAGUAGCAGCUCACUCGCUAGUUGAUGCCCAGCCAUUGUCUGUGGAGGUACAUGGGUUAGUGGUUAGAGCAGUGGACUUGUGGUCAAGGGAUCACAGGUUCGAAUCUCAGACCGGGUGAUGUGUGUGUUUAUGAGUGAAAUACCUAAGCUCCACAUGGCUCCGGCAGAAGGUAGUGGCGAACUUCUGCUUACUCUUUCGCCACAACUUUCCCUCUCUCUUUCCUCCUGCAUCUUGAAGCUCACCUGUAACAGACCGGCAUCCCGUCCAGGUGGGGAACCUAUAUGCCAAGGAAACCGGGAAACCGGCCCUUAUGAGCCAGGCAUGGCUUGAGAAGGAAGCCAUUGUCUGAUGCCACAGAUCCUCUGCUUGACUACAAUAACCUUCAAGCCAUUGGUCAAAGACUCCUCUACCUUGUCAGUUAUCCAACAUCCUGUUAUCAAUGUCAUCACUGUAUCCUUGGCACAGGAGGCUAAGGGUUUUCUAGCACUCUCCCAAGGUGUCACUCCACUCUACUGAAAGAAGGGGCAAUUUACUCCCUCUUUUAUGGUACAGUACAGCACCCACAUCGGUGGAAGGCCAUAAAAAUCUAUCAAUAUAUUUGACAGGCUUCUGCACAGUUUCAACCACCCAUUUUCUGUUUUCUGUCACAAGGCUAGGGCCGGCUUCAAGCUUUUGGUAAAAGACACUUGCUCAAAAUACUAUGCGAUUGAAUCUGAUAUGUGAUUGUAAAGUAAACUUCAAAACCACCAGACAUGCUGUGGUCAAGAACUAAAAAUACUUUAUGGAAGGACUUUAUCAAUUUUUAGUCAGUACAAUACCACCUGAAGGAGAUUCAGUUGCUAUUUCUAGCAGGCUAAGCAACCAUGAAAAGCACAUCUUCACCCUGUUUUUUAAGAUUAUCUCCCUUUCUCAUUUCAAGUUGAUGGUCAAUGCCUCAAGGCAUUUGUUUACUUUACUCAACAACAGAAGACUGUUUAAAUAAAAUAAGAAUUUAUCUUGUCUAGUAUUUUGCUAUACUUUUAUUUAUCUUUCUUGCCCAAACUCAAGCCACUAGCCCCUCAGCUAUUUCUCUGAGCCACUUUUUUGUUUAUACAUAAUACACACACACACACACACACACACAUACAAACACAUAUCUCACUCUCUCUCUCUCUUUAUAUAUAUAUAUGUGUGUGUGUGUGUACAUAUAUAUAUAUAUGCACACACACAAAUAUAUACAUGUUUAUAUAUGUGUAUAUAUGCAUGUGGGUGUAUACAUGUGUGUGUAUAUAUAUAUAUAUAUACACACACACACAUCCAUAUCUGUAUGUGACUAUAUAGACACACGCACACACAUUCACAUAUAUAUAUAUAGAUUGAUACAUACAUAUAUACAUACAUACACACAUGUAUGUAUAUGCAAACAGAUUGGUAUAUAUUGAAGAAUAUAUACAUACACACAUGUAUGUAUAUGCAAACAGAUUGGUAUAUAUUGAAGAAUACAUCUAUGCAUACAAACAUGCAUACAUUACAUACACACACACAUAUAAAUUGACAUGUUGAAAUAUAUAUCUAUGCAUCUAUAUGUUUAUACACAUGUAUGCACAGACAUGCACACACAAACACACGUGUUCACACACACAAACAGAGAGUCAACUAGUACAAUGUCACUUUACCUAAGAGAUUAAUUCAUGUUCAAAUGAUAUAAUAUAGAUGGUAACGACAUACUUAAAUCUGAAAUUCUCAACAGUCUUUUAAUCUUGCUUGUAUUUUUUUUUGUUCCAACCCCCUUGAUCUUGUGAUUAUAUUUAUUUUUAUUCCUUUUUUCCAUUCUCUAAAUAUAAUUCAGAAAUGGAGAUUUAUAUGAAACUACAAAUAAAUAAAUAAAUAAAUAAAAACUACAAAAAUCAAAAUAUAAGUCAAAAUAAAAAAAAUAAUAAAAAAAUUAUUUACUUACUCGUUGGCUUUUUUUUUUUUUUUUUUGCUUGUUUUUAUGUUUCAUAUUUUGUAAGUUUGAUGAUUUCAAUAUCAGAAAUAAAAGAAACUUACCUAAAAAGAGAAAAUAGAAUUGAAACUUAGAAUCACAGUGUACAUCAGAAUAUAUACAUAAAUGCAUAAAUAAAGAAUAUUAAAGAACACAAGAAUACGACCUAUAACUCUUCCUGAAAUAAUUACACACAAUUGAUAUUUAGCCAUCGAGGGAGGGUGCCUCUCUGGAGUUGGUCUGUAUGUUAGAAACAGCAGUCAAAUCUCCCUCAAGCUAAAUCAUACUGACUUAAAAGACAAAAAAUAGACAAGGGACAAUAUGGUUGUAGAGAUCUUUUAUCGCUUAUCUUUUACUUGUUUUAGUCAUUGGACUGCAGCCAUGCUGGAGCAAUGCCUUGAAAGGUUUUAGUAAAAAAAUAAUCAACUCCAGAAUUUAUUCUAUUGGUCUCUUUUGCUGAACUGCUAAGUUAUGGGGAUAGAAACAAACCAAAACAGGCUGUCAAGUGAUGGUGGGGAUAAACACAAACAUACAUACAUGCACAUAUUUAUAUUACUAGCUUUGAAGCUGCCCUUCAGGCAGCAAUCCUGCUGAUUCCUAUGGAAGCACCUUUGAAGCCUUCGGCCCUCUACACUUGUGUAAUAAAACUUAUUUCUGCAAAUGUGCCAAGGACUGGUGCUGAUCAUAGUUUAAUCACUACAUGUAGGGGUGAAGUAAAUGCAAUAAAAAUAGAUGGGUUCAGUGGGUCCCCAUUUAAGUGUCUAUUCAGAAACUGAACCUCCUUAUGAUGCUCCCUGAGAGUUCAUGGUAUAAAGUUCAUUGUCAUUACUCCGAUUAGGUCGCCAAUGCCAUGUAUUUAGUUUAAAAUGCAGUAAAAAUAUGGGGGUCAGUGGAGCCCUCCCCCCCAAAAAAAAAAAUAAAUAACAAAAACAAUAAAAUCUUGUUUCCAAAAUAUGUUGGACCUGAGUUUGCACCCCCUAAGUAAACAUUAUUACCGAACCAGUGAUAGUAGAAGACACUAGCCCAAGGUGCCAUGUGGUAGGACUGAACCUGAAAUCACAUGGUUGCUAAGUGGUUAAUUACGUAAUGAUGCCUAAAACUAAAUAAAGACUAAAUUGGAUGGGAUGCUUGUGUUCAAAAGCCUUUCUUUUUUGUUGUUUUUUUUCUCCCCACUUGCUGGGGGCAGGUUACAUGGCUUUGCAGACCCCCAUAUACUGUUAGAUGGAUACUAUUAAUGUUCUAUUUGAACUUCUAUAAAUCAACACCAGCAGGAAAGAUAUGAGCAGGAAGGGAAUUCCAGAGGGCUUAACCCUUUCAUUACUGUAUUUAUUUUGAGAUACUCUGUGCUUCUUUCAAUUACUUUAAAUAUAACAAAGAAUUUGGUAAAAUAACUUAAUUAUCAUUAAGCUAGUGUUAGAAACAUAAAUUGUGACUAAGGUUUGGUAGAAGAUUUUAAUUCAAAACUGUUGAAAACAAGGCAUUUGUACUCAGACCCAGAGGCGGUUUCAGCCGGGUUGGUAACAAAAGGGUUAAUGUACUUGGAAGUAAGGCAGUUCGUGUCACCACCACCCCACCCACCCACCAGACUGCCUCUUUGGACCUCCAUGGCAAGUACCAAGUGCUGUACAAGAUUACAAAGAGUAAGGUUGACGAUGGGGACUGCCCCAGAAUAGCAGUUCACUUGCCAGUUGAUGACCAAGCAUUGUCUCAUGGCACAAAUCUUCCACUUCACUGCAGUAACCAUCAAGUCAUUGGUCUAGGACUCUUCCACCUUGUCACUUAUCCAACAUCCUGAUGUCAACAUCUUCGCCAUAUCAUUGUCACAGAAGGCUAAGAGGUCGCUAGACUGGGAUGACACCUGAUUCUCUAACGAUUCCAUUAAUUCAAUACCUUCUACAAAAGAUACACAUAUACACACAUACACACACACAUAUACAUACGCAUGCACACACAUAAAUCCACACUAAUUUAAUUAAUUCUGUCUUGUUACAUUGUGUAACCCUUGGCUUCCUAACGGUUGGUGUGAAGGUGAUAAUGUAAUAUGUUGAACGAAAACAAAAUAAAACUAAGAUGUAAUUGAUAUUUUUAUAAACCAUUCAUAUUAAUGAUUUUACAAUAAAUUUUCAUAAUACUUGGAUUUUUAUAGCCUUUCAUUCCACUGAAAAUGGACAGCAAGGCUAUUGUUCAUGUCUGAUCCACACAUUCAUAGUUUUAGCUGUAGUUUUAGAUUUCAUUGUUGUCUUUUUUGUUAUCUGAAUUAUUAUGUAUGUGUGUGCACGUGUGUGUGUUUCUCUCCCAGUCUAUUUCUCUCUUACACACACACAUACAUAAAUAUAUAUAGAUAGAUAUACAUACAUACACAUAUACACACACACACACGCACACACACAUAUAUAUAUAUACACACAGAAAAACACACAUUUAUAUCACUUAUACGUGUAUAUAUCAUUUAUGUAUACAUACAUAUAUAUAUAUAUAUACAUGUAUACGUACAUUGUGCCUCCAAAACUUUCAGAGAAAUUCAGCCUAUGAUAAUACUCUCUAUCAAAAAGAGAAUAACACAAGUAUGAAUGUAUAUAUUGUGUGUGUAUAGGUAGAUGUAUAUAUAUAGGUAUAUAUAUAUAUAUAUAUAUAUAUACAUAUAUGUAUGUAUAUGUUUAUAUAUAUAUAUAUAUAUAUAUAUAUAUAUAUAUAUAUAUAUAUAUAUACAUAUAUAUAUAUACACACAUAUGUAUGUAUAUACACAGAUAUUUGUGAUCAUAAAAUAUCAAAUGAUAGUUAUAAAUAUAUCAUCUAUUAUUACUUUGAUGCGCAAACCCCUCCAGUCAUGAACAUAAUUUUGGGACCAAACAUAUAUUUUUCUGCUAGUAUCCUUAUGUGUCUACGCAUCUAUUUCUAUGUGUAUAUGUAUUUGUGUGUAUGCAUGUAGGUGUGUGUACAUAUAUAAGCACCCCUAAAUUUUCUUUACAGAAAGCUGCUAUUAUAUGAAUGGCUCCAUAUGAUUCAAAUAGAUGUCAUUAGAACACAGAAAGAAAAUACUGUUACAAGAAUGGAAAUGUAAUACUAUUGAAAUAAGUAUAGUGGACCAGUAUGCUAUAGCCGAAUACAGAGCAGUGUAGAUUUUCCAUAAACCAGCAUAGGCAUAACACAAAGCAGCCCAUUAAUAAGUCUUUGUCAAGGAGUAUCUGGGAUACGAGUAAGAAGUGCCCAAUAUCUUUACAAAUAACAGUACAGGCUCAUAUAAAUUCUGUUGGGGGUGUGGGAAGGAUUAGACGGAAAAAGACGGAAAUCAUAUGAAUUCCUUAGAAAUAUCAAUGCCUUCCUCACAUGAGAAUUAGAUAGAUAGAUAGAUAGAUAGAUAAGCAUGCUCACAUACUCACUCAUGUUUACAUGCAUGUGUGUGUGUAUGUAAUAUUAUACAUAUAUUGUUUGUAUCAUCAUCAUCAUUUAACAUCUGCUUUCCAUGCUGGCAUCGGUUGGUAGGUUUGACUGAGGACUGGCAAGCCAGGAGGCUAUACUAGGCUCCAAUCUGUUAUGGCAAGGUUUCUACAGUUGAAUGCCCUUCCUAACGCCAACCACUCCAAGAAUGUAGUGGGUGCUUUUACGUGCCACCGGCACAAGGGCCAGUCAGGCGCUACUGGUGGCAUUUACUAGCAAAGGGACGUAAUUCAGCUAUCCUCGCUAGUCUGCUACAGCAUCUCCAAUCUGAGACCAAUGUCGGUAACUUUCAGAAUUUGUAGUAGAGCAGAUUAAGGUAAUAACACAAAGGGAGGAGGAAAGGAAAAAAACAAUACUGUUUGUCACUUAUACCACAGUUCAUACUAAACUAUCGAAUUCCAUAUUCUGACUGCAAUAAGACAUGCAACUAUUUACCAGCAACAAAAUAAGAUGAAAGAACUAUUCUUUUACAAGUGAAUUACCAUAUUUUAAAGAGAGUAGUAAUUGAACUUCUCUUUUAGUUCUCUACUGACAAACUUUACAUCAGUCACAUUACUGCAGAGUAAGCUACUUGCAUGUUGCAUUCUAAAUUCUAUGGUUUUGGCUGAUAGCACUGACAUUACAAAUCUAUUAUAAAUACAGACUAUAUCAUCAUUUGCAUUGAGAAGCAUUAAUUACCUUUCUCCGGCAGACAUUGCAUCAGUAUUUUCACGAGGAUUAUCAAUCUGCUUUUCUUGGACAAUCUUCACAUGUUAUUUUAGGAAUGUCUAAUUUUAGAAGCCACAUUGGACAUUAGCCAUUAAGUAACUAACACAAGUGGACAACAAACUGAACUGUACACAUGCAUAUUUGUCCAUAUGUGUGAAUGCAUGUGUGUGUGUGUGUGUGAUAUGUGUAUCAUUAUCAUCAUCAUCAUUUUAACAUUCAAUAAACUCAGAGUUUAUAGAGGCUGGUUUUUCUAUGGCUGUUUCCUGUUUCCAAGCAAGGUUAAUGUUUCCUCAUGAUCAGGCAUGUUUCCUUAGAAUUUUGGAAAUGAAUGACACUGCUUCUAUGACAGACAAUGGCAAUCACACAACAUCAUGACAACGUGAUACAAACAUGCACAAAUUCAUGCUCAUGCACUCAUAUACACAUAGACAGAUCUUCAAACAUGGUGGGCUUCUUUUAGUUUCUGUCAACCAAUGCUACUCACAAGGUUGACCUAGGGCUGAAUGCAGAGAUAUCUGCCCAGGGUGCCAUGAGGUGGAAUUGAACCCAAAAUUAUAAAAUGUGAUUGGGAGGCAAACUUCUUUACCACACAUUCAUGUCUAUGCCUAUUCACAUACAUAUAUAUUGUGUAUAUAUAUAUAUAUAUAUAUAUAUAUAUAUAUAUCUGUCCUUGUUUUCCUUGUAUCAUCUGUCUGGAUAUUUUGUUUUCCUUUGUUUGUUUCACCUAGCUGUCUAGAUGUUUUGUGUUUUUGUCCCAUUUUUGUAUUUUAUAUAUAUAUAUAUAUAUAUAAAAAUAAAUAUUAGGGAAUAAAUCCAAAUUUACAAGGAAAAAUCAGAUUUAAGAUUGAAUCCAAUUUUAUAGUAAAAUAUUAUAUUAUAAUAAAUUAGAGACAAAACCACUUUUAUGCAAAUCAAACAAAGAAAGACUUAAGCCAGUCUUUCUUUGUUUGAUUUGCAUAAUAGUGGUUUUGUCUCUAAUUUAUUAUAAUAUAUAUAUAUAUAUAUAUAUACAUAUAUGAAGCUUUGGCUGUUAUUUCUAGUGGGUGAAUGGCCUAUUAUGGCCGUUCCUUGAUUGUGAUAUAUAUACAUAUAUAUAUAUAUAUGCAUAUGUGUGAGCAUAUAUAUAUAUACACACACACAUACACACAUGUGUGUGUGUGUAUGUGUUAUUGUGGCCUAAGCUCUACAGACAGUUACAUACAAUGGCGAGAACUUAGGACAUAGUUUACAGUGAUUCACAUCGUUUUGUCUCUUUUUUUUUUUGUCUGGUUUGUGAUACCAGCACUUGACUGAUCAACAUUAUGGUAAAUGCCGUUUCUUUUUCUCUGCUCCUCCCACCACCACUGCUAAUUAACAGGAACUAGUAAGUGUGAUAAUGGUUUUAUAAUUACCAUCUUAUUUGCUGAAAUUGAUUGUUACUCCAUAAUCACGCAUCACAUUGCUGAAGCAUCUCAAGGAAAAGCCUGGAGCAAUUUAAAGCUAUUUUUGUGUCUUUUGUCUUUUGUUUUUUGUUGUUUUUUUUUUAUAUUUCAUGUGGUUUGUAGUUUUUUCAUGUUUGUGUGUGAAGCAACUGAGGGCCAGACAGGAAACAUGUAUUCUUGGAUCUGUAGAAUGAAGACCAUUAUAUUUUCCCCUAUAUAGUGACAAGUAUUUCUUUUUGUUAGUUUCGUCUGGAAGUCAUGAGUUCUUUUAACACUUGUUUGACCAUAUUUUUUUAUGCAAAAGUACCUGUGCAUUUUAACUGAUUUUGGGAAAAACUUAAGAAUUAAAAAUUUGGAAGGGUUUAGUAAAAAGAAAACAAGCUACAACUGUGGCUGUGUGGUAAGUAGCUUGUUUACCAACCACAUGGUUCCGGGUUCAAUCCCACUGUGUGGCACCUUGGGCAAGUGUCUUCUACUACAGCCUCGGGCCGACCAAAGCCUUGUGAGUGGAUUUGGUAGACGGAAACUGAAAGAAGCCCGUCGUAUAUAUGUAUAUAUAUAUAUAUAUAUAUAUAUAUAUAUAUGCGUGUGUGUGUUUGUCCCCCUAGCAUUGCUUGACUACCGAUGCUGGAGUGUUUAUGUCCCCGUUACUUAGCGGUUCGGCAAAAGAGACCGAUAGAAUAAGUACUAGGCUUACAAAAGAAUAAGUCCCGGGGUCGAGUUGCUUGAUUAAAGGCGGUGCUCCAGCAUGGCCGCAGUCAAAUGACUGAAAACAAGUAAAAGAGUAGUGUUUCUAUUUGUAAAAUAUAUAUAAAAACUAGUAAUUCUAGGUCAAGUUUGCUUUCAGUGGUUGGGGAUUAUUAACCCUUUAGCAUUUAAACCAGCUGUAUGCAGCCCGAAUAUUCUAUCUGUUUUAUGUUUAAACCAACCAGAUUUGAUCUCUCACACCUACUCUACAAUGUCAUUCUAGAAGUGCAUCAAUCAAAUUAUUGAAUUCUCAAAGCUGAGAGUUACAUGAUUAAUUCAAACCAAUGUGUAAAAAUAAGCUUUACAUUCGACAGAAUCAUCUGAAUGCGAAAGGGUUAAGAUACCAAUGUUUUUCUUUGUCAUAAUAAUUAUUGUAUCUUCUUUUAUUUUUUACUUGUCUCAGUCAUUGGACUACAGCCACACAGGGGCAUUACCUUGAAGGGUAUAGUCAAACAAAUUGACACAGGUACUUAUUUUUCUACAUUUCAGUUUCUUUUGCUGAAUUGGGAAUGUAAAUAAACCAACAUCAGUUGUCAAGUGGUGGGUUGAUGAACACGUGCACACACACACACACAAUAGGCUUCACACAGUUUCUUUCUACCAAAUUAAAUCACAAGGCAUUGGGAGGUAUGGGGCUAUAGUAGAGACAGUUUUCCAAGGCGUCACACAUUGGGACUGAACCUGAAACUAUGGGUUGCCAAGAGUGCUUCUUAACAAAAGCCAUAUUGUCUUAGCAAAAGAGGCUCUUAUCUAGAACUAGCAGUAUCGCCCGGCGUUGCUCGGGUUUGUAAGGGAAAUAACUAUAUAAGCAGUUUUAGAGAGUUAUAGCCAAAAAAAUGCAUUAAAAAUUGAAAAAAAAUUAUGGUAAAUUUUUUUUUAAAUUGUUGACACAUCGUAGACAUUUUUAGAGAGUUACUUCCCUUAUAUAAUAGCGAAAAAAUGCAUUAAAAUGGAAAAAAAUGAUGGUAAAUUUAUUUUUAAAUCGUAGACUCAUCGUAGACACGCGCUAAUACCCAGAAAGGCUCGAUAUGAAUCACGACUAUAAGAUACCCGCUUUUGGUUAAACUACACCGCAAAAUGUGGGAGUAGUUAGGAAUCUAAAUUGUAGCAGAUGGACACACAACUUCUCUUUUAUAUAUAAAGAUUAAAGCGAAAGUUUAAUUUCUAUGUGAGCACUUCAAUGCAAGAAUAUUGUAUCAGAGCCAAAAACAGUUAUGCAAGCUGGCUUCAUGGUGGUUAACUGUAUUAAGCAGUAUGUAUGGUUUUGUUUCAGUGUUGCCAUGUUUGGUCUAUGUUAGGUUGGUGUUGAAAGUAAGGCCUGGUAUUUUGGAGUUUUUUGCUUUUUGGCAGGGAGGGGUACAGUAUAUAAUGUGUAUAUUGGGUGUUAGAUUGUGUACAGCUAGAUCUAUUGUAAAAAGGGGUUUUUUUGUGGGGUAGAGGCUGUGUUGAAUACAUACAACACCAUAGGUAUGACUGAAAUUAUAGUACUCUCAGAAUUCAUAUGGGUUAUGACUCAGUGGUUAGAGUGUCAGGUAGUGAGUUUGAUUCCUGACCUGGACAAUGUGUUGCAUUCUUGAGCAAGACACUUUAUUGUCCUGUUUCUCCAGUUCAUUCAGCUGUAGAAAUGAGUUGCAAUGUCACUGGUGCCAAGCUGUAUCGGUCUUUGCCUUUCCCUUGGAUAACAUUGGUGGCACGGAGAGGGGAGAGUGGUAUGCAUGGGUGAUUGCUGGUCUUCCAUAAACAACCUUGCCCAGGCUUGUGCCUUGGAGGGGAACUUUCUAAGUGCAAACCCAUGGUUAUUCAUGACUGAAGGGGUUUUCUUUAUAGAGUGUGUGAUCGCACCUGCAUAUAUCAUGAAAUUUGUUAUUGUUGUUGUGGUGGUGGUGGUGGUGGUGGUGGUGGUUGGUGUAGAUGUGUCUAACAUACAUAGAUUGAAGAAAGCAGGUGAUAGGAUUCAACCUUGUGGGACUCCUAUCUUAUGUGUCUUCUUUCUCAUCUUGAUUGUCAUUGCUUUCAUAGAUAUUUGUUCUAUUAUGGCAAGAAAUCACUAAUCUGAGAGCUAAUUAGUCUUGAUAGUGCUUUACUAGAGUUCCUCAAUGAUAACUGAGACUUGUCAAACAUCUGCCAGUGUCAAUAAAAUUAAUUUAAGCUCUAAAGGGAGAGAAAUAAGAAAGCCUGUUGUAUUAUUCGCAAGUAGGAAGAAUAAAGAGAAUAAAGAAACAAUCUAUUUGUUCAUUAAGUUAACGAUACAUCUCGACAGCAGCGAAAAUAUAAGACAUCUGAUUAUCAACUUGAAUAAGUAAAGAAACUAGUCUAUUCAAAACUCUACUUUAUCAAAUAGAGAGAACCUGAAUCAAUGAGGGAGUCAUGAUUAGGUCGUCUGUUUCGUCCAGAAGUAGUAAUCAAAUCUUUUAAAAAUUAUUCUCUGCUAUCUUUAAAAAACACACUGGAUAUUGCAGUUCUAGAUGCUAGAGAAAACCAGGAUGGGCAUGGUUGGAAUGUCCCUGAUUGUCCCACUAUUCAAUCAGUGCUGAAUCCAGAUUAAAUAACAGUAAAUAUAUAUAAAUUUGACAAACAAUAACUGAAUAUAAAUCAUUUAUAAGUAAAAUGUAUAUAAAAGCAAAUAACUUUAGCUCAAGUUUGCUUUAAAUGCUUAGAGAUUAUUAAGCAGCUGUUGUAUUUUUUUUAUCUUGAUGAUGAUGAUGUUAUAAUAUAAUUGUAUAUUAAUAUUGUCUUAAAUGAAGAGGAUCAAUAAAGAUGCUCCUUCUAAUAGCUAAUUUUGUAACAACAUGUCUAUUGUCUUUUGAGAUAAAGUAAAGAGGUUUGUCAAUAAGAUUAUAAAUUCAACUCUUUGCAAGAACAAAAACAAUAAUGGCCUGACUUCACAUAAACACUUGGUUCUUGAACCAUUUUGGUCAUUGAUCAAUUCACAAACCACUAGUGCUGUUACCACCACCACCAACAACAACAACAACACCGCCACCACUACCUCCACUACCACCAGUACCACCAGAACUAUUAUUAAACAAAUAAAGGAAAAAAACUCUUUGUAUUAAAGUAAUAUAAUUGACAAUAAUAAAAUUAAUUUACUCUUAAAAGUUUUAUUGGCAGUCUCUAUGUCUCAGAAAGUUUCAUUUAUAAAUUCAAAUAUGUUGGAUACCAGCCGGAGUGGCAGUAAAGAUAGAAGAAGAAUAGCGCUAAGAAUCAGAGCAAUGGCAAAGCUAGUACUGAGUAUAAGGUAGCUCUGUGUGUGUGUGUGUGUGUGUGUGUGUGUGUAGACAAACAAAAGAAGGGCACUCAACACAUUUAUUGGGAAUUACAUGUAUGGAUCAAAACAGUUUGAAUCAAACAUACAUUAUUAUCAUCAUCAUCAUCAUCAUCAUCAUCAUCACCAUCAUUUAAUAUCUGUUGUCCAUGCCAUGGGUUGGAUGGUUUGAACGGGCUGGCAUGCUGGAAGGCUGCACCAGACUCCAGUCUGAUUUGGCAUGGUUUUCUAUGGCUGGAUACCCUUCCUAAUGCUAACCACUCCAAGGAUGUAAUGGGUGCUUUUACAUGCCACCAGGGUGUGUUUACGUGCCACUGGCACUUGUGCCAGUAUGUGUGACACUGGUAUCUGCCACAACUGUGAUUUUGUUCAGCAUGACGGGUAUUCUUCUCAAGCACAAUAUAAUGCCAAAGGUCUUGGUCAUUGCCUCUGUGAGGCCCAUCACUCGAAAGGAAUUCAGCCACUUUGCCUCCAUGAGGCCCAAUGUUCGAAAGGAACCCAGUCACUUUAUAUAUAUAUAGAUAUACAGAGAGAGAGACAGACAGACAGAGAGACAGAGACAGACAGACAAAUAGAUAGAAAUUAAUAUAAGCAGCUAGCCACAAUACAAAGCCAUAUAGAAAAAAAUUAGUUGACACUAAUUGUGAAUGUGGGUGCUAAAAGUACGGUUAUAGCUAGAAAUAAGAGUAAAAAUUCCUAUAGUUGUAUGGUUCUAGCUUUGCUCAUGAGGCAGUUAUCUACUCUGUCAGUAUAAAAAAAUGUGCUUUUCAUGCAGUCAUGAAGCUACAAAAGUUUUAACACUUAUUUCUAGUGAUAUAUCAAUACAUAAAAAUUUUUAAUAUAAAGAAAUUUAUUUCUUUAUAUUAAAAAUUUUUAUAUUAAAAAUUUUAUAUAUAUAUAUAUAUAUCAAAUAUUAUUGAGUAUCACAGUAACAGUAAAGAUAGAUAGAGAGCAAUGUGGAAUGUGGAGUAUUAGAAUAUCAUCAGUAAAGAUGAUAAGAAUAAAGGACACAUAGUGCUGAGUAUCAGCAUACAAGUAGAAACAUCAGAGUAACAGUCAAAAUAAAAGACAAAUAAGAGUUGAGUGUCAGAGAAAGAGUAAAAUAUUAACAGUAGAGGACAAAUAACAUUGGGCAUUAGAGCAUCAUUUGAAAAUAGGUUUUCUUUAUAAAGAAAACCAAACAGAAAACAAUGUUCAACUUAAUGUGGAUGCUUUGCUAUAACACAAAAUACUGUGUUAUUUAUCCAGAGAGAACCUCCCAUAAUGCAGUAUUGUUGUCCUAAAAAGCAUCCACAUUAAGUUGAAUAUAAAGAUUGCCGCUUGGUACUAAUACUGCUUCUGUCACAAUUAUUUUAGAUACUAGUGUUGUUUUAUGACAAAAACUGGUCAAGCUAUAGACACUAUAAUGUUUUUACUGCAGUUGAUGUGUUUUGUAAUAGGUCACCACUCCAGUCAGUCCUCUAUGAACAAACUUAUAGCACAAUGAAAAGUGAAAGGUCUGAGGGUAGAAGGCUGCUGUUUAGGUAAUGGAUGGCCUCAAAGUAAAUUUUGCUGAGAAAAUGUUUUUCUUUUUUUAUAAAUGAUAUUUUGUGACACUUCACAAUUAGACUGAUAUUUAUUUAAGCAAUAAAAAGAUUAGUUUUUAUCAUUGCUGGAAAAGAUUAAUCUGAUUAAAACUCUAUUUCCAAAAUGUCACAGAAUAUCCUAAAUACAUACAUACCAACACACACACACACAUUACAUACAUAGAUAGGUGCAAGCAUAGCUGUGUGGAUAAGAAGCUUGCUUUUGCAACCAUGUGGUUCAUGGUUCAGUUCCACUGUGCAGGAUCUUCAGCAAGUGUUUUCUACCAUAGAUCUGGGCCAACCAAUGCCCUAUGAAUAAAUUUGGUAGACAAAAACUGUGUGGAAACUUGCUGUGUGUGUGUGUAUGUAUGUAUGUAUGUAUGUAUGUAUGUAUGUAUGUAUAUAUAUAUAUAUAUAUAUAUAUAUACAUACAAGAUCUGACUGGGCCUGACGAAGGCAGCUUCACAGACAAACAAUUGUACCUAGUCCAACCCAUGCUAGCAGGAAAUAUAAAUAAAACAAGUCUUUAACGUUUCGAGCCUAUAUAUAUAUAUAUAUAUACAUACAAGAGUAAGCACAUAAAUGCGAAACAACAUGGAGAAAAUAGUACUUGAAUACCAGCAGUAUUGUAAAGCAGAAAAAAUACCACAAAAACUGUUACUCACAGUUUCAUGUACCCAUUUGUCCGAUGAACAGUAACAUGAAACUCUGAGUAACAGUUUUUGUGAUAUUUUUGCUGCUUUUUAAUGAAGUAUAUAUAUUUAUAUACAAACACAUAUGCAUUCACACAUAUAUAUACACACACACACAUAUAUAUAUAUAUACAUGCAUGUGUGUGUGUAUAUAUAUAAUAUAUAUACACAUGCAUGCAAGUGUGUGUGUGUGUGUGUGUGUGUGUGUGUAUUUAUAAUUCAAAAUCCAAAAUUAGGGAAUGGUGUACAUAAAAUCCAGGUUUCAUAUUUUUCAUAGAUAGCAGAACCUUGGAAAUAGUGAUUGUCCAAAUGAGGAGUAAUCCACUGGGGUAUAAGUGUACUAGAGUAUUAGUUUGUAUGUAUGUAUGUAUGUAUGUAUGUAUGUAUGUAUGUAUGUAUGUUUAUAUACAAAUUGGCGUGUGGGGUUUGUUAAAGUACUUUUUGUGGAGCAGUAGGGAAGAUGUGUAUUUCAAGGACUGAGAUUACAAUAUACAUCUUUAAUAUGCUUCUUUUUCACAAAUAUCAGCACACAAAUCUAUGAGACAGUCUUUACACUGUCACUCAACCAGUCAGAGACGCCUGGAAAAUCUCCCUGCAACCCUUCCUCUCAUGUUAAGAAAAUGGUACAUUGUCUAAUGUGAUCUUGGAUUAGGUAUACUUAGGUAAGAAAAAAAAAAGAAAACUUAAGUAACUGGAAUAUCCUUGAUCCCAUAUCUGCCUGAAAAGGACUGACCCUGGACCUAAACAACAGCAGCUGAAGCAACAAGGAAGGUUUUUAAGUGGUUACUAAAUUUGCUAAACAUAGCAUUGAAAUCUACUUCGAUCACAUUUUAUUAUAUUAGAAAGAGUAAGCCAGUGAGCUGGCAGAAUCGUCAGCACACUGGAUGAAAUGCUUAGCAGUAUUUUGCCUGUUGCUAUGGUCUGAGUUCAAAUUCUGCUGAGGUUGACUUUGCCUUUCAUCCUUUCGGGGUCAAUAAAUUAAGUAGCAGUGAAAUACUGGGGUUGAUGUAAUCGACUAUUCCCCCUUUCCCAAAAUUUCGGUCCUUGAGCCUAUAGUAGAAAGGAUUAUAUUAGAAAAGGCACAUUGUCUAAAUAAUGAGGUUUUAGAUUAUCUGUACAGGUGAGUUGUGAUUGGAACACCUUUGAUCAUAGGUCUGCUCAAUCUGAGCUGGCCUAGGGUUAAAUAACAAUGAAGGUGGCAAUCAUGUAGCACCAUAAAUUUGAUUGGUUGGUUCUAAAAAAGAAAUUUUUUUUUUAAAUCAAGAACUUUGCUUGAAUUGUGGUUUACACCUAUAUAUGUGAGGUUGCUAAUGCUCAAUCUCAGAUUCAGGAGUAGUUUAAAAUUUUCGUGAACAUUUGAUGGUUAAAUAGUCAAGCUGAUCCAUUAAGAUGUAUUCCCUCCUAUCCUUCUUGUAACAUUGCAAAGAUAGAGUAACUUAGAGAGAAAGAGAAUUAGGUAGAGAGAGAGAGAGAAGAGAGAGAGGGAAAGGGUGAAAGAGGGUGAGAGACUUUCUGACAAAUAAAUUAAUUUGAUUUAUCAGCUAGCUGGCACAGGGAGCUGACAGUUUUUCUUAAUACACAACCAGCAAGCCUGCAAGAGUGGCUUGUGUCAGUUAGUAAAGAAGCCUAAGUAAUGCUUGCCUUCACAGAAACAAAUGCUGUCAGAGCAUGAAAUGUAGGAUUCAUUUACAUGCAUCUCUGUAAAACAUCACGCUCAAUCUAUGUAGAGGCGUGUAUAUAUAUAUAUAUAUAUAUAUAUACACACUUCGUUUUGCAGUGAAAGCAGACUCACACUAUAUAUGGGAGGGAAAAAAUAAAACUUAAGUAAGGAUUCGCUGACAUCCCUGCAGACCAUCUCAGCAUGCCAUUCAUUUCUUUCGUCUCUUACAAACUGUAAUGUCCAUCUCACACUUAUUUCCUCUCUCGCACAAACACACAUGACCGAACACAUAUAUAUAUUCACACAUACACACACAUGUUCACGUACACACAGAUGCAUUCACACAAAUGUGUAUAUAUAUAUAUAUAUAUAUAUAUAUAAACAUACACAUAGUCACCUACAUAUACACACACACACACACACACAUAUAUAUAUAUUCACAUGCAUACACAUUCACAUUUUCAUCCACUUGAUUGAUUUAUUUUUGCAUUCUGUGCUUGUUUGGAUUCUCUCAUCGUCCUGUGGUAAUUUGCAAAUCACAGUUCAUCUGUUACUGCAUAGUUCACAGCUUUAUAAAGGCAUGCAUGCGUGUGCAUCUGUGUGCACAUUUGCAUGUAUGUGAUAUAUAUAUAUAUAUAUAUAUAUAUAUAUAUAUAUGUUUGUGUAUGUAUGUACAUAUACAUGUGUCUGUGUUUGUGUGUUUGUGUGUUAGUAAUGAAUGUGUAUGCACGUAUAUUUAUUAUUAUAUUUGCAAAUCAAAUUGUAUCAGAAACAGCAAUAUUCUGAAUAAAGUGAACUCAAUACACUAAGUGGAGAAGAUAUAUUUUAUAAUAUAUUAAUUACAGUUGACUGAAUGUGCAUUGCUUUAAGUUUCUUCCUAAACAAAGUAAUCUGCUAAUGUUCUCUCACCCAACCAAGAAGUUCUUUCAAAUGUUACAGUUUUAUCAUUAACAUUUGGUAGCAAAGAUUAGACAUGAUUCAUGCAUAAAUCCAAUUGUUCAAUAGAAUACCAACAAAAAUCUAUACCAAAUAUAAAUUUACAUAUAUGCAUAUUGUGACAAUAUAUAUACAUAUGUACAUACAUACAUGCAUAUGUGUGUAUGUAUAUGUAUGUAUUUAUCUCCCUCUUUCUUUCUCUCUCUCUCUCUCUCUCUCUCUCUAUUUAUAUAUAUAUAUAUGUAUAUACAUAUAUAUAUAUAGAGAGAGAGAUAGAUACAUACAUACAUACAUACAUACAUAGAGAGGGACAGAGAGAGAGGGAGACCAUGAAAGAGAAGGAGAUAUUUAGUUGUCAAUAUCUGGGACGAGCUUUGGAAAGACAACUAUAGGGUUAUUAUCCAGGCAUGGCUUUGUGGUAAGAAGCCUGCUUCCCAACCACAUGAUUCCAGGUUCAGUCCCACUGUGUGGCACCUUGGGCAAAUCUCUUCUAUUACAGCCUCAGGCUGACCAAAGCUUUGUGAGUGGAUCUGGUAGAUGGAAACUGAAAGAAGCCUGUUGUAUAUACAUAUAUGUAUAUAUUUGUGUGAGUGUGUGAGUCUGUGUCUGUCUUCUGCCAUGACUUGGCAGCUGACAUUGGUGUGUUUAUGUUCACAUAACUUAGCGGUUCAGCAAAA
RNAcentral lists this long non-coding RNA (51724 nucleotides) under Octopus vulgaris (common octopus). The record is from RNAcentral. Lineage: Eukaryota; Metazoa; Mollusca; Cephalopoda; Octopoda; Octopodidae.